UUUUACAAUAGAAAAAACUGACUAUUCGGCGCGUAAACUAGCUAGGUAUUGGUCAUUAUGAUUAAGGGUCUGUGGCCAUGGUUAAUGCAUUACAAGUAGUGCAAAGUGGCACUUCCAUUUCAUUAAUUUUUAAUUACGAGAAAAUGAUUUUAUUAAUCCACUUGGCUUGCUUAGACGCACGAAGGCAAUCAUAUACCCCAUGAACUAUCUUCAAAAUAUCAUUAAACAUCAUAAUCACCUUCCUUCUUGUUGACCGCAUAUAUAAUAAACUCUUCGUCUAAAGAUAUGGUUGUUUUGUACAACUUGGCACUUGGCGAUAAGUUUGUUUAAUUUGUUGAAAUUAUUAGAAAAUGGAUAAUAUAUUAAUAAUUAGGUCUUUACAGAAGCAUAUGCACAGGCCUUUUUUAUAAUCGGUGCUGAUAAAAUGUUGCUGUAAAUAUGAACGGAACUAACGUUUUUUAGGAAUGUUCGGAAAAUAGAAUAUCUUUAGGGAAUACAUUAAUAUCACCGAAAGUUGGCAAGAAUAUAAGAAAGAGGUAAUGUAAAAAAAAUCAAUAUUAAAUUCUUGCGUUGUUAUUUAUAUAUAUGUUAUUUUUUAAUAAAAAUAUUUUUGCUACAGGUAUCGUUAACCAUUAAAUUAAAAUCAAUUUUAUAUUAAUAUUAUAAAAAUAUUAAAUAUUGGAUUAUUGUUCUUGGGGAUGAGAAUAAAAUAUGCUAAAAAAUUAGUUUGGUUUAAAAAAAAACCCAGAGAAAAUAUAUGAUAAUCUUUUGCAUGGGAUGCGACUUGUAUAUAAACAUUCUUAAUUGUUACUCAGAGAUUCAUGUUUGCACCCAUCUUUUUAUUACAAUAUUUGAUUAUACUCUCGUUUAAUCCCGUGAUUAUCUUUUAUAUUCACUAAUUUUACGAAAGGUGACAUGCAUGACAAGAAAACUCAUAAAAAGUUUCUCGUUAUACAUUGGUCCUUUUUUCUUUCUUUCUUGACUUUACGUUGCUCAUUAUAUUCCAAGUAUAAACAUGCCAACAUUGCAUUAACUAACAAACUUACGCAGAAUAUGAAAAUGAUAAAAAAAGAGUUAGCUUUUCUUUCAUUAGAGUAGUCUCAAUAUAUAUAAAUGAAUUACAAACAUACCAUCUAGUUUGUUAUAACGAAAUUCGAGAUAUAUACAAAUAUUUAUUUUAAUCAAGUCAUUUAUAUCCACAAAUUACGUUUGAUAAUAUCUGUUAAUUAUCCAUAAUAUAUCAUUGUAAAUUAUUAAUUUAUAUAUAUAUUAUGAAGGUUUGAAAAAUAUAAUUGAAUAUAGUCAAGUUGACUGUAAUUAUAAAUAAAAAUAUAGUAUAGAGUAGUGAAAAUAUUUUCUUAUCCAACUUAAUUUCUUUUUCGUCCGUUCAUAAAAGAAAAAACAAUAGAAAAAGACGUUUCAAUACUUUUGUAACAAAUUAAAUCAUUUCUAAAUAAGAUCAAAUUUAAUACACCCUUUACGUAGUAUCAAAAUCAUACUAAAAGAAUCUAAUCAUAAUUUAUUUUUCUUCAAUACUGAAGUUUGGUAGAGCACAUAAAAUAUGUGUACCUCAAUAAAUUAAAUAAAAUUUCAUGUUUGUCUAACUUUCCCUUGUUGCAUCAUCAAAAAUAGUUAACAGCUUAUGUAAAACCUCCCGAAGAAUAAAAGUACAACUAAAAUUGACAAUCUAACUUGUCCUCUCUCACCCCAUCAUUAUAUUAAAUCGGAUUAAUAAUUAAAUUAUAAAACUACAUACAGAUUGGCCGCCGCUGGAUUUUAGAAAACAAUUCUAGCUACUUCUGGAAUAUGAAUAAUAAAUUUGUUGAUGGGAACACGUCUAAUUACCCUAAAUAUUAGGGUGGUAAAAAGUCCAACUAACUUUUCCUCAUAUCACUAUAUCACUAUACAUAUUUAUGAUUACAUACAUUUCAACGAAAGUUUUAACAUUAUUCAAAAAUUGUAUAUCCAUAUGGAUUUAGCUCAAUUUUUUUAAAUAUAAAAUGCUAAUUAGUUUUUUAUAAACAAAAAGACCAAAGCAAAUAAAGCUUAAUAUAACUAUGUAACUCAUAAUAAUGUUAAGUGGUGUAUUUAAUUUUAGGGGUGUAUAUAAACUUGUUAUUAAAAACAUCAUUUUAUCAUUAAAUGUUAACUAAACCUACCUAAAUCAUAAUUAUUGUUUAAAUUAUUAAUAAUAUCUCUCAUAUCAACUAUAUAAAUAAUACAUCACUAAAUAUCUUUAUUAACAUAUAUUAAUUUUAUUUUUGUGUAAAGACAUUAUUUUUGAAUUAUUUUCAACACAGCUUUCAUUUAACAAUGUUAAGUAAUUCAAACUAUUUUUUAGAAGGGGGCUGUUAUACAGCCACCGUUGGAUAGGGAACCACCGGGCGGUUGGAUGACAAAGACUCCUCGCAAUGAAACAUUGCGGUACUCAAGACCCCGCAAUGUUUCAUUGCGGGUACUUAAGUCCCUGCAAUGAAACAUUGCGGGUACUUCAGUCCCUGCAAUGUUUCAUUGCGGGUAACUCUGAAACAUUUUACUUCCCUAAACUAUCCUUCCACUACUUUAGUUUUAGUUAACAUUUUUACUUUCAUUUUAAAUUUUAAAUUAUUUUUAUUCAUUUUAAAUAUACUAUUAUCUUCAUUAAUUCAAGAUAUAUAUCUAUAUUAAAAUUUAAAUUUAAAUAUUAUUAAUCAAAAAAAUUAUAUCACUAGAAUGUAUAAUAAUAUUAAAUUAUUUGUAUAUCACAAAUAUUUUAAAAUAUUUAAUUGUUUAUAAUUUUAAAUUACAAAAUUAUUUUUUCUUAAUAUUUUUUGAAAAUUUUAAUUAUUUUAUAUGUUAUAUUUGUUUAAAAUUUUAAUUUUAAUUAUUAUACUAAUACAUUAUAUCACCCCGCAACGAAAUUAUUUGUAGACUUGCGACUAUCCCAUCUCCCAUCCCCGCAAUGAAACAUUGCGGGUACUAAUACUCCCCGCAAUGUUUCAUUGCGGGUACCAAUACACCCCGCAAUGUUUCAUUGCACAGAACUUUUACUCCCCGCAAUGUUUCAUUGCACAGAACUUUUACUCCCCGCAAUGAAACAUUGCGGGGAUCGUAAUUAAUGUUUUUACCUACCAGUAACAACAAAAUUACUCUAUCACCUUCUCUCAUUUCAUUUUUUGAAUUUAAUUUAUUAUUUGUUGUUUGAUUUUUUUUAUUAUUAAUGUAAUACAUUAUGUUUUUGUUUGAUAUUAUUUUAUUAUGAUUUGAAAUCAUUUGAAUUUUUAAAAACUUAAAUAAAAUAUUAAUUAAAUUUUAUGUUUUUUGUUUUGAAAUUAUUUUAUUAUAAUUCGAAAUCAUUUGAUUUAUUAUUAAAAUAAAUUAUAUUAUUAAUUAAAGUAUGUUUUUAAUUUAGUUUUUAAUUUUUUGGUAUUGUUUUAUUAUUAUUCGAAAUCAUAUGAAUUAUUAUUAAAAUUAAAGUAUAUUAUUAAUUAUAUUAUAUAAUUAAUUUAAUUUCUUUUUACGAAAUUGUUUUAUUUAUUCGAAAUCAUUUGAGCUAAUAUUAAAAUUAAAAAAUAUUUUAUUGUUUAUAUUAUUAAUUAAAUUAAAUUAUUUUGUUAUUAAUAUAAAAUUGAAUUUUUAUAACCACAAUUUUUAAAUAAAUAUAUAACAAAAUAACAUUCUUAUUCAUAAUGUCAAAUUAAUAAGAAAUAAAAUUAAGUUAAAUUACCAAUUUCAAUAUACAAUAAAAUUUAUUUAUUAUUUAUCAUUCACAAUGUCGUAGAAGCGGAAGGUGCAGUGUUCGAAUCGUGAGUCAUGUGCCUUGGAGUAUAACAUACUCCCCGCAAUGAUUCAUUGCGGGGUAUCUUUUAAAAAGUAAACUACCCGCAAUGACUCAUGGCGGGUGUCUUUUAAAAAGUAAAGUACCCGCAAUGACUCAUGGCGGGUGUCUUUUAAAAAGUAAAGUACCCGCAAUGACUCAUGGCGGAUGCCUUUUAAAACAAAUACCCUAUCCACCUCACUCAGCCACCUUUCAAAUGAAGAUAUAACACCCCACAAUGAUUCAUUGCGGGGUACAUAAUCCCCACAAUGUUUCAUUGCGGGUAUGAAAUUUAGGUAAACUGUCACCGCUAUGCUUCAUUGCGGGGAAGAUAAUAUUACUUUUUUUAUUCAAAAUAUUUGAAAAAGUUCAAUAAAUUGUAAGAAUUUAUUCAACUUUAGCUAGAAAAUAUUAAUACAUGUGUUCUUAUUAAUAUUUAAAUAAUUUAAGUGACAUUUAAUAAUAAUUUAGAUAUUUUUCUUUGAUUUGUAUUUGUUCGAGUAUAUUUGAAAAAACUACUUGUACAUACGAGAAUUGGAAAAAGUUAAUAAUUUGUCAAAAAAUAUUAAAUUCUAGCAAAAAAUACUAAUUAUAUGUGUUCUUACUAAUAUUCAACCAAUUUAAGUGAUGUUUAUUCAUAAUUUCGAUAUUUAUCUUUGAUUUGAAUAUGUUCGAGUACAUUGAAAACACUACCAGUACAAAAAGAGAAUUGGAAAAAGUGAAUAAUUUGUAAUAAAAUAAUUCAACUUUAGCUACAAAAAGUUAAUUAACCUUAAAAGAGCAUGUGAGCUACAUAGUUCAAACAUGUGUUCGAUAUAUUUAGGAAACAAGCAGUAGUAUUCAAAUAAGUAAAAUUAUUAGUAUAACAAAAUGACAUAAAAUAGUUAAUAAGAUAAAAAUAUAUAGAAAUUAGAUAGAAAAUUAUUCAUAUAUUGUACUAAGAAAAAUCAAAAUUUUCUCUUAUUUCUAACCUUAACAAUAUAUUUUUUUUUUGACAAACCUUAAAAAUAUUUUUAGUUUAAUUAAAAAAUGUUAAUGAUAACAAUUUAAUAUAAUAAACUCUACAAGGCAUAUGAUAUGUGAAGGAAGGGGUAAAAGGGUCCAGGGAAACAUUGCGGGGAUUUGUAUACCCGCAAUGAUUCAUUGCGGGGUCUUUCAUACCCGUAAUGUUUCAUUGCGGGGUUGCAAUAUUUCAUUGCGGGGAGCCUUUUUUUUAGCUGUAGGAUCACAAAAUGGAGGGACGUGAUCUGGUGGCUGGAAACCGGACCCUAUCCACCGGUGGCUGUGGACCGGUUUCCUUUUUAGAACACGUAUUCUUUUCACAUUUUAACUUGGGUACAUUUUCGUAACAUUAAAAUUCUGAGUUAACCUUAGUCAACUUAAUUAAAGAUCGUAUAAUUGGAGCCCUAAGACAAGCCUAAAUUCAUUACACAAUAAUUCACUUCCUCCAUUUCUUUAUCAUUGAAUUUUUCAUGCAAAAAAAAGAUAUGGACAUCCAAAAAUAUUAAAUCAUUGAUAAAAAUAUAUUAUAAUUUAAAUUUUAGAUGAUAAAUUUUGAAUUAUAUAUUCUCUAACGUUCAAAAAACUAGUAUAUAUAACGAUAUCAUUUAUAAAUUAAAAAUGUAUAAUAGUACUCCCUCCUUCCCAUUUUAAUUGUCCACUUUGUUCAAAUCACACAUAUUAAGAAAUAUUAAAUGUGAUAUGUUGUUACCAUUGUCAUGCAUAGAUUAUACAAAAAUAGUACUAAGUUUUCAUUCAUUAUUGUUGAAAGUCAACAUAAUUUACAUUGUAAAUCAUGAAAAUUGUAUGGGAUAACAAAUGCUAACAUUGAAAGUUGUAUAAAUUUGUAUUGGACAAAGAAGAUGGACAAAUAAUAUGGGAAAUUUUUUCUUAACAAAGUGGACUAUUAAAAUGGGAAGGAGGGAGUAUCAUUUAUUAAAUCUAACAGUAGAUCGAGUAGAGAGAGAUAUUAUUAUAAUUCCUUAAAAUUGUCUACAUUUUAUGUGAUUCUUGAAUGGUCACUCCUUCGAGUGGGUGUGAGUUGUGACAUGAGCCACCUCAUGUUCACGAGGUUAGAUAGUACUAUUAUCACAAUAACGUAGGGUAUAAAUAAAUUUAUAAAAUCACAUAGGUAAGAAGCUUCUUGACUUUUGAAUUUAAUUAAUUUCAUGGAAGAGUCACCCCGACCUCCAUACUUUUGUUUUCUCUUUUUCUAUUCGCGCGCUUCUGUGCAAGUUCAGCUAAAUUGUCCGUUCGAUCAUUAAACCCCAUAAUUUAAUUAGCUGGAAUAUUCGUUCAUAUAUUAAGUUAAUUUUUGUCUGCUGUAGUCUAGUAAUAUUAAUGUAAUAUUAGACCAAAGUCAACAUCCGAGACAAAGAUAAUGGGACGAACAUUUAACAACCUUUUCCUGUUGUCCUUGAUUACCAAAAUACAUUCUUUGUUUUUAGUUAAAUUAUAACAUGAAUACAAUGACGCUUCGUGUACGUGAUACUCCUCAAGGUUGGUUCGGCUUAGGUGAUAUGGGGUUUAGGUGAUGUGAGGUUGGAAUAAAUUAUGGAUGGUUGGGGAUUAAGGUGAAUGAAUUGUUUGAUUUAAAGUACUAUUGUAAUAAUAUGAAUUGAAUGACACUCUUACAAACUUCUCGUACGCUCCUCUGAGUUCUGAAAACACGUAUAUACAUAUGUUGGAAGUUUGAGGCAAUGAUACGAAAAUUAAAAAAUUCAAACAAAAUUCUUCUAAUAUGUCAUUAUAUAGAGUAUUUAUAAUAUUAUAGAAUCACUAGCCAAAAAUCUAUAUGUAUUAUAGAAAAUAAAAUUUAAAUAUAAUAUGUAUAAAUUUGAUUAUAGAAAUUCCUUAUCCAUAAAUCAUAAUCUUAAGCGAUCAAUCUCCAUAUAUUAGCCAACCUCAGCAAACAUGCAGAAAAGUCUCACAACAUCUAUUAUAAUAUAACAUAUUAUUUUUAAGAUUUCGCGUCAUAUAUUAUUAUGCUAAAAUAACAUAUUUUAUUUAUAACAAUUUGAAAUAUUAAUAAUAUGAAAUUUUUAAAAUAGAAUUCAACUAAUAUUAGCAAUAACAUGGUAGUAAAAUGUAUUGUAGUGGUAGCAAAUUUUCUUAUAUUCAAUUUAAUCAACCAUUCCUGGUCAACGAGAUGCUUUCUCCAACCAAAAUUGACAUGGUAAAAGUAAAAUUUAUAAAUAAUAUGUAUAAAUUUUACUAGUCCAUUAUGAUACAAAAAUGAAAAUCUUUGUCAAUUAUUAUAAUUAAAUUUCGUGUAUAUUUGACCAACCUCUAGAACUAGACCUAGAACAAUAUUCUACUUCAUCUAAUUUCAUAUUUAAAAUAAUAUUUUUUUUUAUUUAUAACAACUUGGAAGAACAAUUAUAUAUCAUUUUUAGAUUAUAGGUAGUAUCAUUGAAUCAAAAUGUAGGGGUGAUCGCGGUGCGGGCGGUGCGGUUUUUCGCUAAAACCGCGAACCAAACCGCGCAUGCGGUUUGGUUGAAAACUCAAACCACAACCGCACCACGCUAGCAUAAAAACCGCGUAAACCGCACCACAAAAAUGCGGUGUGGUGCGGUGCGGUUUGUGCGGUUUGUAUGCUUAAGAAUAAAUAUUUUAGUUGAAGUUCGAAAUAAAAUUUAAAUAUACAAUAAUUAAAAUCUUUUCUUGUAAUGAAUUUAUAUGAUAUUUAUCAUUUUAAAACUACAACAACUAAUAAAAAACACAAACAAAAGUGUAAAUAUGAUAAUAAAUAUGAGUACUAACUACAAAGAGACAUAUUAUAAUAAUAUAAUCAUUUCAUACAAAUUUGGUAUAAUAGUAAUGCGAGAUUGAUAAAAUAAUAUUUAACUAUUAUUUGAAGAUAUUUAACAAAUAUAUAUAUAACAUAAUUAUAAAUAAUAUAUAUGUAUUUAAUAUAUUUUUAUUUGAUAAUCACUAAUAUAUAUAUACACAUAUAUAUAUUAUAAUAUCGCGGUGCGGUGCGGUUUGAACCGCACUACUAAUAUGUCAAACCGCAACCCGCACCGCACCGCGCGGUUUGUGAAAAAUUCAAACCGCAACCGCACCACAAAAAUUAAAAACCGCGUUUUGUGGUGCGGUUUGGUGCGGUGUGGGCGGUUUAUGCGGUUUGGGCGGUUUUCUGAUCACCCCUAUCAAAAUGUCUUAUAUAAUUUAUAUUGUAUUACAUGUCCAAUUUAACCAACUAUUUUUACAGAACUCAACAUGUUAGACAUAUCUCUUUCGUUAGAAUUAAGUUAGUAUCUAACAUAUAUCGUUUUUGAAAAUACUAAAUAUUUAAUUUUAGAAAGAAAAUAUCAUAUAAAUAUUAAAAUUCUUGAAAUAAAGGAUUAUUUUUGCAAAAUAAAGACGACACAAACACCUUCUAUAUACUACCACGCUAAUUAUGUUUAUUAUAAGUUGCCUGUAUCAUAUUGUAUUAUCCUUUUUAAAAAUUAAUUUCACAAUACAUAAAUAAAAUUUAGUUUCAAACUUUUUAUGCCUAACUCCGUAAAAUCAUACUUCUACCAUCUAGGAGUAGUACUGCUAGGUACACAAAAUUUUGUCUAACAUCGACGCAUUUUCAUUGAAAUUGUUGAUAUAAAUACAGAACACAUAAAAUUACACAAUAAUAUAUCCUAAGCAUUUUUUUUUUUACGUAGGAACCCGCAACCGCUACUGGGUAAACCCACGAGCUCACGAAUAGCCUAUAUAUGUACCUACAAUAUAUACACACCGUAAAAUGCAAUUAGUAGCCAAUUUGAUAUUACAAGUGUCUCGCUUUCAUCUCAGCUAGUGUAUAAAAAAUUCAUCAAACACCUAGACCUACAAGUCUUUUCCCCCACCUCAAUAUAUACCAAAGCUCAUCAUGAAGUUGCGCAACUUUGAACUUCAAGGAAGAUUUAAAUCAACAUCAUCUGUUACACCGUCACACUCACUCUCUUUCACAAAUCGCAACCUUAAACAUUCAUAUUUUUCUUUCGCGUAUAAAAUACUUGGCAUGCAUGUUUCCUAUGUAUGUGUCGUCUCUUCACACUCUGGUGCUUGCAUAAAUUAGCAUAAACUUGCCACGAAUUCUGAGAACAAUUCGUUCUAGCUUCACCAAUUACUUCUUCCUACUUCUGCUUAAACAAAAAGAGAGAGAGGGAGAGAGUGGGGGAGAGAGAGAGGGAGGGAGGGAGUGGGAGAGAGAGAGAGUGGGUGGGAGAGAGUGGGGGAGAGAGAGAGAUAUAUAUCAAACCAAAGACUUGUUACUGCGUUACCAUUUGCAGUUUGCCGCAUCUGCUGUAUAUAAAGGUAAAUAUCUAUGGUCCAACUUUGUUCAUACAAGUACAUGUAUCAGCGUAUGCAUGGCCGUAAAUUUCAAGAAUAUUUUCUCACUUUAUUUUGUUUCUUGAUCAGCUAAAUUAUUACAAUGAGGAUAUCAUUUUCCGCUUGCAAACAAGCCCAGCCCCUGGUGAACUUUCGCGGGGAUGUCCUAAACAUGGACGCCUUCAUGCCAUGGCUCAAAAAGGACAAAGUCAUAAUCCUGAUGGGAGCAACAGGGACCGGGAAAUCAAAACUCUCAAUCGACCUCGCAACUCAUUUCCCCGCCGAGAUCAUCAAUUCCGAUAAAAUUCAAGUCUACCAAGGCCUAGAUAUCGUCACCAACAAAGUUACCAAAGAGGAAUGUCGCGGCGUGCCGCACCAUUUACUAGGCGUAAUCAGUCCGGACUCCGAUUUUACCGCAACAGAUUUUCGGCACCACGCGUCCAUAGCGGUCGAGUCCAUAGUGCAACGCGACCGCCUCCCUAUCAUAGCCGGCGGCUCCAAUUCCUUCAUCAAGGCUCUUGUAAACGACGAAUUUAGAUCAAGGUACGCUUGUUGUUUUCUCUGGGUUGAUGUGUCACUCCCCGUUCUCCACUCAUUCGUAUCGAAUCGCGUUGAUAGAAUGGUGGAAUCGGGGCUAAUAGACGAGGUGAGGCAGUUUUUUGAUCCGGAUUCGGAUAAUUAUACGCGAGGAUUGAGACGUGCAAUAGGAUUGCCAGAAAUGGACCGGUUUUUUCGAGCUGAACCGAAUGUGGAUGAUGAAACUAGAGUUGCUCUACUUGAUAUGGCGAUUGAUAAAAUAAAAGGCAAUACUUGUAGAUUGGCUACGUACCAAUUGAAAAAUAUUCGGACGCUACAAAAACAAAUGGAGUGGCACUUGCACCAUUUGGAUGCUACUGAGGCUUUUUUAAAGCGCGGCCAAGGAUCCAAUGACGCGUGGGAGAGGCUGGUGGCGCGGCCUAGUAAAGCAAUUGUUGAAAGUUUUCUCAAUGAAGAAGAUUCUGCCGCAACUCCUUCGGUGAAAAUUACUGCCGCCUCACUUCUCGGAGCUGGUUCCGCUAUUGCAACGACCACCUCUACGGUUGUGGCAGCAAGUCGCUGAGCAAUUAACGUCAGUUAAUUAUUGAAGUGGUUAACAGUUUAUUCUCUGUUGAUCGAGGUAAAAAAGUGAAUUGCUACUUGGAAAAAUAAAAAAGGAUAAACUCCUUCUGCAUUGGCAUAAAAAACUGUACAAAAAUGAGUGACACGGGUGGAGUACAGACCUAAACUGUGGUAUCCAAAGGGGUUGCUUUCAGGUGGUUAAGUUUUGUGUCCGUACAGGUGAAAAUCAUUUUAGUAAUCCGUGCAGGGGUGGGUUUAAACUUUAAUGUAAUGAAAAGAGUACAAAAAAGUAUUCUUGGGCGCUCCAUUUUGCGGGUAGAGUUAUUCGAGUUGUGUGGGGCCUUGUCAAAUGACAUCCGGUCCUUGUCAUUCAGAAUUCAGAUGUAGGGAGAGUGCGUGUGGGCUUUUUCUGGAUUUGUGGUGUGCCAUGCAUCAUUUCAGUUUUGAUAGAGCUGGACGUAAAUAUUCUUGUGAUGUUGUGAAUUGACAAAUCCAUCUUUUCAUUGUGACAAAUGUACUUGUGUGUUUGUUUUAUGCAUGAAUAUGUGCCGGGACUUGAAAGAUCGCAUCUAGUAUUUGUAUGCAUCAACAUGUUCAUGUGCUUAUCACUACUAAUUAUGUACUAAUUAAUUGUUCAGUUUCAUCGCACAAAGUAUAUUUUGUAACUUGCAGGAGUGAGUUAGAAACACUGACAGGUUGAGAAAUAAUGUAUAUUUUGAUUAUGAGACCGUUUGGGUGAACUUAAAAUAAGUGCUUCUUGCUUAAAAUAUAAAAGUGGAGUAGAAGUUAGAAGCAAGUUAAGACUUAUAAGUGAUUAAAGUGCUUGGAAAAGAAGUAGAAAUCCUGAAACAAAAGUUAGCAUUCCAAGCUUUUUAUAAGUGUUUCUUGACUUUUUACACAAACGGUACGAAUAAGUGCUUAUAAUUUAUAAACCAGAAGCUGGGCUUUUAAACUCUAAACAAUCACCACCUAUAAAUCAUACUCACAGGUUCAUCUAUUUUUUGACAAACCAUCCCCCUCCUAUAAAUUCUUAUAAUCAUAUAUUUAGUAGUUUUUAACAAACCAUCCACUACCUAUGAUCUUGUAUAAUCAUAUAUUUAGUAGCUAUCUAGGUGUGAUUAAUUUAAAAUUUGAAAAAAAAAUGUGUUUUGUGUACAUCUAUAUUCUGAACUUUACACACCACUUGUAAUAUUAUAUAUCUAAAAUCAAUACUUGCUGCCUCUUCAAAAUUUCACAUAGUUUGUGUAUUUUCAUCUGGUGUUGCUAAUAAUGUUGUGUUAAAAUACUAAUAAACAGGUUUUAAAAUGUAUUUUAUGUAUCUGCACUUUGAAUUUCAUAACACUUCGUAAUAUUGUUGUAUUCUGUUUUGCUAUCGUCUAUUUAUAUUUGAACUUAUUAUCCUUAAUAUAUAGCAUCUGACGAAAGUAUACUAAAAAAUCUUGAAGUGAAAUAUUGUAAUAAAGAAUUUCAAAGUAUUGCAAUCGUUGUAAAAUUAAAACAUAGAUACAUAAAAUGCACUUUUCUGCGUAAAUUACCAUGUGAUACCAGACUAAAGUUCCGUGUGAAUCUUUAGGGAACCCCGUGUGAAUCAGUAUGGCUCUUUACAGCUAGUGCUAAAUGUAUACGAUUCUCACUAUACAACUUAAUGUUCUCCUUUUGUCCAAUUCUUUCCAAUUUAUUCCUGAUUCGACGAGAGUACGUACCUUAGCGAGAACUAAAAACAUAAUAGCAUCUCCAAUGGUGCUCCAAAAUCAUUCCUUAAAGUAUAAUAAAAAAUGUGGCUCUUAGGAAGUUAAUACAUCGGAAAACGUGAGAACUCCAAUGCUACUCUUUAUAGUUAGCUCCUAAUUCACAUUUUAUAUUUAUUUUAUAUAAAUGGGAGGAAAAAGUUAAAUAAAAGAGAGAGAAGAUUGGAAAGAAAAUAAUAUUAUAUUGAGUUAAGAGCUACUAGAUGCUCUUUAAAAGAAAAGAGAGAGAGUAACCUCCUAAAUUUUUAAAAAGUAUCUAGGAGCCCAUUGGAGCACUAGAUUUUGAUUUGCUCCUAAAAUUUGGACUUAGGAGCUUGUUUAGGAGCCCAUUGGAGCACUAGAUUUUGAUUUGCUCCUAAAAUUUGGACUUAAGAGAACUAGAUUAACACAGUAUCCUCAUGCAUGCAUGCAUAGCUUACACAAAAGAGUUUGGAAGAGUCCUUCAAAGUUCAUAGUCUAAUACACUGCAGUCUCUCUUUAGAAACAUGCAAGUCUUGAUUCUCUCAAAGAGUUCUCCAUUAAAAGACUAAUUAUUCAUUCCAUCACGAUUGUGUAUUAAAUUGAAAAAAAAUUGGAAUCUAUGGAUAAAGGAACAUAGUUCACUCAAGUGAGAAGAGUUGUAUCUCCCCACUGACCUCUUUAAGCUAAAUGAUCCUAAUCAUAUAUUAUAUUAUACUAAUAAGAGGUUAUGAAAGAUGCCCACCAAGUGAAAUCAAAGGCCUUGAUAAAAAGUGUACAUAUAGGCCUUGAUAAAAAGUGUACAUAUAUAUGUAUGAAAGAGAUUUUUUGUUCUCACACUUUCACAUAAUUCCACAAAGGAAUAGUCAAAUCAAUCUUUUGUACAAGUAGCUUAUUCGAAAAGAGAAAAAGAAGAAAUGAGUUCUAAUGUUCAUGUGUGUAUUGUCUCUGUCAAGAAAUAUUUUUAUAUAUGAGAGACUCAUGGCUUGAUAUUCCAAUUACUUUUCAAAAUGUAGAUAAUUAUUUUAUUCAUCAUGCCCCUUUGUUAAGAAAUAUCUUUUAGUUAAGUAUAUUAUCAUUUAGACAUAGCAUAUGUUUCCUUUUCUUCACCAAAAUAUAAUAUCUUGUACUCAGGACUUUUUAAUAUGAGUUAUAGACUACUUUCAAAAAAAAAAAAUAUGAGUCAUAGACUAAUUAAUACCUAGACUCAAUGUCGUAAAAACGGAAAUCUGACUUAAUCAGUUAAUACACAAAAAUGUCGGUGUAUAAUUUUUUUGAAUAUAUAUUACACAUAAUAUGUAUUAUUAUGCAUAAAAUUAUUUAUAAUUACUUUUACUAAUAAAAUAGAUAUUGAUAUAAAUCAAUACCAUUGAAUUUCCUUUGUCCUUGUUAUAUUGGGAAUAUAAAUUUAUAACUCAAAUAUUAAUUUAUUAUGUAUUAUUAAUUAAUUUAAUAUUAAUUCAUCAUGACUUUUUAAUUAGUUGUUUACUAAUUAAUGGAGAUUCUACCAUACAAGUUUCAAUUAUAAAAUUAUCUACCAGAUUAAGAUGUUCUUUAUUUAAAGAAUGUAGAAAUAAUAUAUGGGCCUAGAAGUAUAAAGUAACCACCAAAUCGAGUUGCACCCAUUCUUUGGAUCAAGGCUUGCUAUAAUAAUCUACUAAGUGAGAAUUUUUAUUCAGAGAAAUCCCGGAUCAGUGAUAAGGAUAAUCCUAAACUAUAUCCUAUUUUCCAGAAACGAAAAAAAAGGCCCAGAAGGUAAAAGAAGAUAAGUGCAGAGACUGCUGUUCUAACAAAUGGAAUGAUCUAUGGGUCAGGUGACAAAUCUCCUCCCUUUUAUGUUUGGGCCACUUUAUUGUUUUAUACUAAAUUUUUUUGUUAGUCCCACUGAUUUUAAGUUUUCUGGGCUUGUGGGUUUUGGUUUCUCANAAGAGUGUUGUGGCUUGUGGGUCAUGGACUGCGUUUGAGGAUGGCUCUCAUAUAAACCCAGUAGAGUGGAUCUAAUGGGCUGUGGCAAACGAACUAACAUUUGGGCUUUCAAUCUGCACAAGAAAAUAAAAUAGAAUGUGAAAAUGGGAAAGAGUUUUAUUGUUGGAGCCAAGAGACUCUCCCUCCUGCAGUAAUUUCUUUUUUGAGGAUACGAAAUGCUACGAUAAAAUUUCGACAUAAAAUAUCAUUUAUUUAAAUUUACAUAUACGAAAUAAAAUGCCAGAUUUACAUGAGUAUCAAUCGAUAAGGAUGAACAUGAAAAGCUGUGCGCUUUGGCACAAUAUGAGUGCAUAUGUAAUCAUCUACGCAAGAACUCGUUUUCAAGUUGUGUAGCAUCAGUCCAUUCUGAUCAAGAAUAUCCAUUCAAAACGAAAAAUCUCAAUAUUUAAUUCGAACCUCUUAAAUCCAAGCACGAGAAAAACUAACUACAAUAAUAAUUAAUUUGAUCGAAAAAAAUACCUGUUAUAGAUGGUUAUCAGUUUCAUAUUUCAAAAUCUUGAAAUCCCGAGAUCUCGAAAUAUCAUCUUCGCUUUAUUCACGAGGAUUAACAACAUUUUAGUAACGUUUCCGCAACUCCCGAAAAAAAAACCCAAAGGGGCCUACAGAAAGCGAUGCACACCACGGCACAACACGUGUAUUUACACACUCCUGAUAUAUCCAUAAUAAAAUAUACUCAUAAUAUACAACACACACAGUCACACACCGGACCGGAGAAACACUGUUACACAAACAUCUACACACAAAUUAUAGAUUAUAUACAUACAGAGAUGAAGAAGCUGACGAAUUGGCUGUUGAUAAUGGCGAUGAGGCCGAGACUGACCGGAGAGGAGUCGUCGUCGAUAGAAUUCGGGACGUUUUUGUGGUACGUGUACGCCGGAGUUUCGUGUGCGCUUGUUCUGUUCGCCGGAAUAAUGUCGGGGCUUACCUUGGGAUUGAUGUCGCUCGGUCUCGUCGAGCUCGAGAUUCUCCAGCGGAGCGGUUCUCCCAAGGAGAAACAACAAGCUGGUAGUUUUUUUAUUCAAUUCUGCUUAAUUUGUGCGUGUUUUUGAAAUUUUGAGUUUGUUAGUGUGAAUUGUUGUUGUGUAUGUAUGUGUGAUUGUUUUCUGAUUGAUUGAUUAUGACUUGUGGAGUAUUGAAGUGGUGUUUGAUGUGAAAUGGAUUGUUGAAUGUGUGAGCUUGCGAUGUUUGGUUUCGAGACUAGUUUGUUGGAUUAGUAAAUUUGAUAGUUGGAAUUAGGCUGUGUAGAAAUGAAAUUUUAUGUGGCGAGAUAACUGGAUCAUAUGUAUGUUGCGGUGAAUGGCUUUGAGUAUGUUAGUAUAUUCUGUGUACUUGAUUUUUUGUUGAUUCGGUAUGGUAUGCCAAUGAUCACUUUUCGUGAAUUGGUUAGCUAUGAUUUGUAAGGAAUUCUUUAUAUCUGUGUUUGAUGAAACAGGAUCAUGAGUUAGUAUACGAUUUUAGGAAGAAAACACUGCUCUUUAGUAGAUGGAUUUGAGUAUGUUAGUAUAUUCUGUGUACUUGAUUUCUUGUUGAUUCAGUAUGGUAUGCCAAUUAUCACUUUUCUUGAAUUGGUUAGCUAUGAUUUGUAAGGAAUUCUUUUUUAUCUGUGUUUGAUGAAACAGGAUCAUGAGUUAGUAUCCGAUUUUAAGGAGAAAACACUGCUUUUUAGUAAAUGGCUUUCUGUAUGUUAGUAUUCUGUGUACUUGAUUUUUUUGUUGAUUCUGUAUGGUAUGCCCAAUUAUCACUUUCCGUGAAUUGGUCAGCUAUGAUUUGCAAGGAAUUCUUUUAUCAGUGUUUGAUGAAACAGGAUCAUGAGUUAGUAUAAAAACAGUGAUUUUCAUUUUAGAGCGGUUCUGUCACUAGCAUGCGAAUAUGAUUGCAUUAGAGUUGAUUAAUAUUUUUUUGGGGGCAUUGCUCUUUGCAGCGGUAAUCCUUCCAGUUGUUCAGAAGCAGCACCAGCUACUUGUGACGUUGCUCCUCUGUAAUGCUGCAGCCAUGGAGGUCUGAGAUAAUGGCAUCUUCACUUUUUAGUUGAUAUCUUUUUGGAAAAAAUUGAUAUCUUUUCUACAUGGCAUAACUCUGUUGUUUCUCUAUUUGAUUAUGUAAAUGAGUAUAAUAGAGUUGAGAUAUGUGUUUUGCGGUUAUUUAUACAUACCAAUUGAUUCUGAAUUAUGGAAUUAGUGAAAGUGAAAAGGUGUAAAACAAAGUUUGCUGGAGGAAGUGCUUACAUGAAAAUACAUUUCAACAAGUAGUCAAAAUCUUUCAAACAAGUGAUUUCAGUUGCCCGAGAAACAAUGAAGCUGAAUUUGUAAUAAGAUUGGUUAAUUUCAAACAGAUAUAGGACAACAUAAUAAAUUCAUAUGAAAGGUUUUCCUUUUCUCCUCUGAUGAGAAAUUAUUAUUUAUUAAGGUUUUAGGCUGUGACACAGGAAUUGAUAGAAUUGAAUAGAAUGUUAGCGAAGUUGCAUAAAUGGUUCGACCGCGCAAUGCGCAAAUGCCACUUACAAAUUUGGUGCGCUGGCACUUAAAUACAGUUGUCCUCGAGUUGACGCACUUGGAUAAAAAAUAGCAAAUGCAAACAUACCUACGUGGAAAGAAAAGUAUCUCCAGAUGUAACUUUUCUUCUACGGACAUUAAACAUGUCCUAGUUUAUUGUUGGCAUGAAUUUUGUACGCAUGCUUAAAAUUUUCAUUUGUUAUUAGACUAUAUAUUCUUAUCUACAUCGAAAUAGAUAUUUGUACAAACACUAUGCUGAUGUAUUUCUCAUUGUUUUACGAAAUACAGGCCUUGCCUCUAUAUCUGGAUAAGAUUUUCAAUCAGGUUGUGGCGAUCUUGCUCUCUGUAACUUUUGUUCUAUUCUUUGGAGAGGUAAAUUACUAUAUUCAUUGUAUAUUGUACAAGAGAUUAAUCGUUGUGGUUCUGUAUACAGAUAGAGCUUGAAUUUGUUUGUAAAUUCUACUUGUCAGGUUAUUCCUCAGGCAAUUUGUACUAGAUAUGGACUUGCUGUAGGUUCUAACCUUGUUUGGCUCGUGCGCUUUUUGAUGAUAAUUUGCUAUCCAAUUUCUUACCCUAUUGGGAAGGUAACGGGUCAAUUAUGCGGGAGUUUCUUUCCUUGCUUGUUCAAUGGUUAUUCUGUGCUAUGUGCUAUAAGAAAAGGAAAUAAAAUUAGACUUUUUAGUAACCUAAUAAACUCUUUAUUGCCAGGUUGAGUUGAUUUUCUUGGUCUGGUUUUUAAUAUAUAGUUCUACUUUACAAACUGAUAAGGGAGUUCUUAAAUUUAACUAAGCCGCGAUCUUGUUCCAGAUUCUUGAUUGGGUCUUAGGACACAAUGAAGCACUAUUUCGGCGAGCUCAAUUAAAAGCCCUUGUUUCUAUCCACAGUAAAGAUGUAAGUACAUCUUUUUAAUUAAAGUUGUACAUGUAUCGAAAUUCAAAAAAUGUAUAUUAUGAUCAACGAAUUGUAUAUUCCUCAAGUAGGCUUUAAGUGCUAUUUUUUCUUCAUGCCCUAAUAUGCUAUUUACGAAAAUUCAGGAAGGGAAAGGAGGUGAGCUUACACAUGAUGAAACAACGAUUAUUAGCGGUGCACUAGACUUAACUGAGAAGGUAAUCGUCACCUUGACUUCUCCUAUUAGAUUCUGGCCAGUUUUUCUCUAAAAGGUAGACAGAGGCUGAUUGCUACAUUAUCCCAGCACUUCGAAUGAACAAAUUUUCCAUUGAACUUUGGGCUUUUCAUUUUGAUGUAAAUCUUAGUUCUUGAUAAAAGGGCACAUCUGCAAUGUGUUGCAUACUUCUAGUAUUAAUUUUUCAUGUUUGUGACAGACUGCUCAGGAAGCGAUGACACCAAUUGAGUCAACAUUUUCUUUGGAUGUCAAUUCAAAACUGGACUGGUAUGUGUAUUUACUUGACAAAUUGAUAGAAUACUGUGUGUUGUGUCUUGUGGCUGUGAAAACCUGGGUGUGUUUAGUCAAACUGAUCAACAUAUCUGCAGUUUAUGUGUCUACUAUUUCUUUGUAUGUCAUGAUCACUGAAGUUUAAGGUUUUCAUCAUAAUGAUUAAUGUAUCUGUGUUCUUUUUAUUAACAAGUGCUGCAUCUUUGGUGUGGGAAAUUGAGCAGCUGAUUAUUGUGAUUUUAUGUUCACUUAUCAACUUGAUAUAACAGGGAGGCAAUGGGAAAAAUUCUUGCUAGGGGUCACAGCCGUGUUCCUGUAUAUUCUGGAAACCCGAAGAACAUAAUUGGUCUUCUACUGGUAUGUGUAUAUCCUAAAAAGAGGAAAAUUGUAGUGAGUGUGCGAACAGUCCUUCAAAUUAUAUCAUUCUUCAUAUGCAAUAGUGAUACAUCUAUACGAUAAGGAUAGGCUUUUGCUUCUCAUUGGAGAGAGAAAAAAAAGUUCUGAAAAAAAUUACAAUGUAAUUUAGGGUUUUGGACUUGUCUUUCGACUCGAAUUUACUUCUCUAGUCCCCUCUUUUCAUGAGAUACCUCCAUAUUUCACCAGAUUAUCGAGUUCAGUUUUUUCUCCAUUCUGGCUCUAGGUCUUUCUUAUUGUUCCUGUAGAUGAAUGUGCCAUAUAUAUUUAACUAUAUAUAUAGAGGGAAAAAGAGGAUUCAAAUGCGUGUAUAAAUAGGAAUAGUUAUUUAUGUGAUCUUUAAGUCUGUUUUAGUAAUUUACGGGUGUCUUUCAGGAUGAAUCUAAAUUUGUGACUCAGUAUAUUGCAUUCUCAUCAAUUACGACAUUUUCUAAUCUUUCCAUGACAUAUGUAUCAGGUGAAAAGUCUUCUAACAGUGAGGGCAGAAACUGAGACCCCUGUCAGUGCUGUUUCUAUCCGAAGGAUACCACGGUUAGAUCACUUGAUCUUGAUUGUAUCAUGCUUAUGUUCUUUUUGUUUAUCAGUGAUCAAGAUUUAUACAUUCUGAUCAUUUGCCAGGGUUCCUGCGAAUAUGCCUCUAUAUGACAUACUGAAUGAAUUUCAAAAGGGUAGCAGUCAUAUGGCAGCUGUUGUAAAAUCCAAAAAAAACAUGAAACCUCCAUCAGUGGAUGAAGAUAAAAUAAUGGAUGUAACAAUAACUGAAGAGAGUUCUCAGUCAAGUUCCUUGCUGUCUAAGCGGGAGAAGUUGGAUAGCGUUAUUGUUGAUAUUGAGAAAGCUCCAACUGGUGCUAAUGGUAACUUGCAGAUUGCUGUAAAUAGCGAUACAAAUAAUACUGGGAACACUAAUUUGAUAGAGGAGGUUGAGGAUGGAGAAGUUAUCGGAAUCAUCACUUUAGAAGAUGUAUUUGAAGAACUUCUGCAGGUAUUCUUCAUGAUUUAUAUUCUUCCCCCUUCCUCAAGCUCUUUGCUUCAUAAGGUCAUACAGUGCCAGCGGCUAGCACAUCUUAAUUCUUAUAUAUUAUUUUUUUAAAUGCAGGAGGAGAUAGUAGAUGAGACAGAUGAAUAUGUUGAUGUACAUAAAAGGUAAUUGGAUUACUUCGAAUUGCAAAAUUACUUAAUCUGAAAAGAUCUGAUGUUGACAUUGUUAAUUCUAUUAAAGCAUAUAGAUAUUUGAACUUUGAUGCAAUAUCUCUAAUUCUCUAUCUGUAGGAUACGCGUCGCUGCUGCUGCAGCUGCUUCUUCAGUGGCACGUGCCCCAUCAAUUCGAAAAAUGAAUGCCUUAAAAGGAGCUGUAAGUAUAGAUUAUUGCAUUAAAUUGAUUUCCUAAACUUGAAUACAACUGCGAAGAUGUUUGACUUUUUUAGAAUACUGCCUUAUAUCAUUACUUGCACAAAAGAUAGCACUAUAAAGCUCUUAAUCAGUCCAGUAUUUGAUAUUUAACAUGAUACAUUAAAUUUUAUAUUACUCAAUUGAUAUAGUGUUAUCCUUUUGGCUCACUCUUCAUCUCCAUCCUUUAGUCGUAGAAUGUAUCAUCCUCGGUGAAUUCAUUUUUUCUGUACUGUUAUGUUCCUUAAAAUCUGUAAGUGCUAAUAUUGUAUUUCAUCUAUUGCCAUUAUGAUCUGUGGCAGAACCUGGAAUUACUGGGAAUUUUGAUUUGUGUGCAUAAGCAUAGUUGCAAAGAUUCUUCAUUAUAAUUUUGGGUGAAAUGAACCUAACUGAACUUGAUGUCCAUUGUUUUGCAAUUUUUUUCCUAAAUGGUUGUGUGUUGUACUGUGGUUAGAUGUAACCUGAAUUUUGUGUUUCUUUUAGGGAGGCCAAAGUAGGAAAGGGAUGACUCCAGGGAAGGUAAAUGAAGACAACUCAAAUUCAACAGGGAUACAAGGAAGUCUAGCUGAGCCUCUGCUUGGUAAGAAACAAUGAGAAUUGUGUCGGAGUUUAGGUUGCAGGAUGAGUUCUUGGAGGGAAAUGGUUCAUAGUUUCAUAGUUGGGUGACUUGGGUCAUAGUUUCUGUAGACUAAGUUUAAGUUCUUCAAACAUGGAUGUUGUUGCCCUCGUGAUGUUAAGUUUAUAAUGGCUGCUUUCUAUGUGCUCUUGCAGUUGGGGUGAUUACUACUCAUUGAUGUAGUUGCAUCUUGAACCCAACUACAAGAGUUCUUAGGUUCAUUAUAAAGUACCAGUGUAUGUUUGAUGUAUGAAGAAUGUAGUACCUAAGGACAUGGGUUUUUUUUUUUUUUGGUAACAAAUGAUAUAUCAGUAUCAUUUGUUUUCCAGAUCACUAUAGGAUGAAAGAAGCUUACUUUUUUUUUAUCUAUGUUAGUUUUCCCUCUUUAAAUACAGUGUUGUUCUUGCUCCCCUGUAAUUUUUGCCGAAAUGUAAUAGUCAUCGUUAUUCUUCAUACACUAUGUAUGAAGAUACAACCCUAGAUAGGCUAUGGCAAUCACUCAUCGUUAUUCUUUGUACAUAGUGUAUGAAAAUACCACCCUAGAUCGACUGUAGCAAUCACUUUUGCUGUGAGUGAAUACAUACUUAUAGAAUGCCGUAGGUCGAAAGUUCUACUGAAGCAAGCUACUUAAAUGAAAAACCAUAUUCACUCCUACGAACCCAGAUUAUUGAAUUUUGUAAGUGGCUCUUUAUAAAAUUGAAUUUAGGUACUCGGGAGGGAGGUGUUUUUUCCGUGUGUCCAUAGGCAACUACAAAAAUCAGUAACAUAGAUUGAUAUUAUGCUUUUUAAAAUAGUUAUGUUACUAAAGUAUUUCCCAUUUAGCUAAUGAUCCUGAGUUUGCUUUACUUUGCAAAAACAUCCAAGUGUCAUGGGAUCAGGCAAUAAUACCGAGUCCGGUGUAUAAAAAACCCAGAGAACAGGGACCUGAACAGGGACUUGUCUAUACUUUGUUACGCUACGCUCAAAGCUUGCCAGAUUAUCUGGCAUGGGGUACGUGUACUAGUCUGCUGUUUGAUUUAAACUUGAUGACACAACUCUGUAUCAUACUCUUUUGGUGGCAUUUAUAAAAAGCUCUCUGUAGAUGUGGGUACAUGUGCGAACAUUGAUUUGCAAAAUUAUGCAUUCAUAUGUGAUCAUCUUUUGGGUAAAUUGACUUGGAGAAUUUAUUUCAUGAAAUUGAAUUAGAGUUAUCGGGAUAACAUACGUAUUGUACUAGUUGAUUUAUAAUGUAGUCUGUAUUUACAUGUGAAUUGGAAAAUUCUGUAUACUGUAUUUACUAAACUGGAUCCAUGUGUUCUGUUUUCUGAGGAAAAAGGAAACGUCAAUAAGAGAUAUAUGAAGUGAAUUAUAUGUGAAUUACUACAGACCUCAUUCCACAUAUUAUUUCGGCCAACAUGUAUUACUACAAGUAAAUACUUCUGUAAAUACAUAUUUAUGGAGAAACCCAUCCAACUGUUCACCUCUUCUUUUUCAUCUCUUUUUGGCAUAUUGAUCACAUCCUCAUAUUUAGGACGGUCCUUUUCAGAAGUAUUCUAUUUUUCAUUUAGUUUUGAUUUUGGGUUGAAACUCGAAAGAACUUGUAAUUUUUGUAACCACAAGAAAUUUCUAGGCACACUGGCCGUUGUUUCCUCACUCAGAUCAUAAUUAAACCCCGUAAAAUGUAUAUGUUUGCAACAUAUUUUAUGAAAAUUACCAUCUCGGAAGAAAACUAUGUAUUUAGAGUAACUCCAGCCGCUUCCCUAUUUGGAGUCUUAAAUCAAAAUAUAAGGAAUAUGAGAAAAUAAUCCACAACAGUAUCUUAGUGAUUCAGGGAAUCACUAAGAUCCAAUAGUCAUGUUAUCUUUAGGUAACCUCAUUCCUCUCCUAAAUCUUAUUUUAUAAUAAAUUUUGAAUACAAACAUGUUCUCUCUUCAACUAUUGCAAUAAUGGUAACUUUUAACAAUAAAAUAAUAUAUAAGUAAUGAAUAUAAGAGCAAGUCCAAGAGUGUCUUAGAGGAUGCCCUAUAUAAAUAAUAAAAUAUAAUGUCCUAGUAGUUUAGGACAUCACUUUUAUAAAUUCACUCCAACAAAAAGCCUUAUCCACAAGCCCUAUUAUUAAAAUAUUAAUAUUUUGAAUGAAAAAGUAGAGUGAAAAGUAGUGGGGAGAGAGAGAAUGAUAAUAUUUUAUUAUUAAAAGUGAAAUGAGGCUCAAGUAGGUGAGCCCUAAAAAUAGGGCUGAAGUAAGUUGUCCUAGUGAUUUAAGGCAUCACUAGGACACUGUUGGAGCAAUGUUUUCAAUCAAAUGCCUCAAAUUAUGACUUAGGACAUCAUUUGAGGCAGCUGUUGGACUUGCUCUAAGGAAUAUUGCUGGAGGUGAGAAUAGCUAUUAUUAUCUUAAGUCACUAGGAGCCAAUAUUUUAUAUUAUAUUUAAGGAAUGAGCUAAGAUGCUGCUGGAAAUACUCUUAGUAAGUGAAAUAUAUUCUAUAUAAAAUAUUAUUUGCCAAGGGAAUUUUAAUGUUGGUUUUGCGCAAUAUACAUAAUUUCGAAUAUUUUUGAUAAAAUAAUACUUCAUUGUCCCAUUUUGUAUGAAGCAAUUUAUUGAGUGUCCCAAAAAAAUACCCUUUCAUAUGACAUCUAUUUAACCAAACAUUCAUAAAAAAUAUUUCAAAUCUUUUCUAACUAAAAACAAGUAUAUGUAUUUCAGGUCUUUUUCUCAAAUAUUAAUGUAAAAUGGAAUAACAGCUUUAUAAAUAAAAACUAUUUCAUAAAUAAUAUAAUUAUUUAUUAUGAACUAACGAGAAUACAUGAAUUAAAAAGUAUAAUUAAAAAAUCAAAAUCAGUUAAAUUAAAUUUCAACAUUCAUAAAUAAUUGGGUUCCUUAGAAUAUCAUAUUCCUUAGAGUCCUUGGAGUCCCUGCUAAUCACCGUUAGAUAUAAUUUUAAUCCUACAGUUCAUAUAUAAGAUGGAGUUACUAAUUUUUAAAACAAAAAAAUUGUAUAAUUUUUUAAACCAAGCGUGAGUAUUUCACUGCUACCAACAAGAAAACUAAGUGGGCAAUUAUGAUUUUCAAAUUAAUGAACGUGGAUGAUAUUCUCGACAUUGCAAAGCAAAACGAUUUAGUUAGGCGAAGCUAUAGUCAUCUUCUCGAGCAAGACAUCACCAUCGGUGAGCGAGGACAUGCUAUCACCUUCAAUUGCACGAUAAAAUUCUUUUUUUUUGCGCUGCCAAAUCCUUAGAUGUAUGUUGUUGCAGGAAUCACGUGGCUGAUAUCCUGCAACUUGUUUGAUCCUGCAACACAGAUAUCAUUUUGACGUUGCAAAGCAGAUUAGUUUGGUUGGGCGAAACUAUAGUUCAUAUUCUGGAGCAGGUGAGCUAAGGUUUGCUAUCAUCUUCAAUUGCACGACAAAAUUAAUUUUUUUGUGCUACCAAUCCAAAGAGGUAUAUUUUUGUAAGAACUCGAAAACAAAUGAAGAAAUAAUUGAAAAGGUGCAGAACAUAAGCAAGAUAUCUUCAUUAUUAGACAUGUUGUUCGUAUCUUACAGAGAACGCCGUUGCAGAACAAACAGAGAAUCAAAUAACUCACUGACAAAAAGGUUGCAGAACAAAUGACAGGAUAAUAUCUAUCCCACAAACUCAACAACAAAAUAAAUUGACGCCACAAUCGUGGAAGAGAUAAGUGAGCGCUCAAUUUGUAAACAUAAUGUAGUUAAUGAUUUAAAUUUUAUAAAAUUCUAAUUAAACUACAACCAUUAGAUGAGAGUAAAAAGAAGGAUCAUGAUUGGGACUCCGAGAACUCCAAAUAAAAUAAGACUACAGAUAACUUUUGUCAAUAAAAUAAAUAUUAUAUUAAAAAUAUGAUAAAUUUGACUUUUACGCCAUUUUGGCCUUUUGGGUGAAAUUUGCCAUUAAAAUGGGCCGGAGACCUUAGCAAAUCACCCAAAAGCCCAAAAUAAUACACUUCCUCACCAAGCCCCACCCUAUAUAUUCACCGCUAACCAAUUUCUAGGGUUUUAGAGCUUCAAAACAGAGGGUGAGCAAAGCGGCGCUAACAAAAUGGUGAAGUUUCUCAAGCCCAACAAAGCCGUCAUCGUCCUCAACGGCCGUUUCGCCGGCCGGAAAGCCGUGAUCAUCCGCGCCUUCGACGAAGGCACUCGUGACCGCCCCUACGGCCACUGCCUCGUCGCCGGCAUCUCAAAGUACCCGAAGAAGGUCAUCCGCAAGGACUCCGCGAAAAAGACGGCGAAAAAGUCGCGCGUGAAGGCGUUCAUCAAGCUGGUGAACUACAACCACAUCAUGCCGACGAGGUACACUCUGGACGUGGAUCUGAAGGAUGUGGUGACGGCGGAUUGUCUUCAGUCGAGGGAUAAGAAGGUGACGGCGGCCAAGGCCACCAAGGCGAAGCUCGAGGAGAGGUUCAAGACCGGGAAAAACCGCUGGUUCUUUACGAAGCUUAGGUUUUAAAUUUCAAUUUGUGUUGGAUUAUAAGUUUUAUUGGAUGAUGACGUGUAAUGUUUUGGAUUCAAAUGUUGCUGGAGUUUCGGAUUCGUGAUAUGCUAAUUUAGAUAUGUUUUUGAUUACUUGUUAUUAGUAAUGCGGAAUUGGUUCACGAUUAAGUUGUAUCUGUGUUUUUCGUAUCGAAUGAUUCUAUCUAUUUAAAUGCAUAGUAAUGUAUUAGGUGCUGGUGUUUAAAUGUAGCUAAUUGUGAUCUGGGAGGUGGAUCUGUUUGCAUCAGGAACCCUCUAUUCUUUUCUGGUAUAGGCAAGGGGCAGCUUUCUUUUUUGUUAGUUGUCUGUUAUUAAUGCUAGACUUGUUUUUCAUGUUAUAUAAAUUAUCAGUUUUAUGUAAUUGUCAUUUUGCUUGCAUUGAGUUGAGAAUUGAAAUGAGGUGAGGAUAAUGAGAGAUUUUGAAUAAUGUAUGAGGUGCUGUGAUGAUUUUGCUUGUUCCUGAGUUGAUCAUAAAUAACGAGUGAUUGAUUCUGGCUAAAAUAUGGAGUUCUAUUUUUUUUCCGGAAGGGAAUGUGAAGAAUAAACUGGCUAGAGUAAAAAUUAUGGUCAAUUUUGUUUUUUAUGUUGGGUUCUUGAAAGUUGUAAACGAAUGCAAAGAAGAUUAGAGUUGGAUGAGAAAACUAAUUGAGCUAGAGUAAACUAAUUAGUUUGAUGAUUUCUAUGACAAGAAAGAAAUAACACAGUGUAAACUAUAUGACAUGACAAGUCUAUACUUGUUGUAAAGAGGUUGAAGAAAAACUGAGAAACAUUUGUAGAUUGAUGGGAUUAAAUUUGUGUAAUCAAACUAAAGAAUGUAUUAUUGCACAUACAGUAAUUGUUGGCAGAUGUGGUUUGUAUUCUGUUUGGCUAUUGCAUCAUUUUAACACUUCCAGAUUGAAGUCAUGUCAACAGGAGAAAUUAAAUUUAAAUGUUUACAAGGCAAUAGCCCCAUUGUAAAUGUGAGUGAUUGACGUUCAAUCUGUUUAUAAGAAUGUUUUUGUUUUCUUGAAAGUUUCUCACUAUAGGGUUGAUGGUACAGGGGUGUAAGAGUUUGCGAUUAUAUUUGUUAUUAUUGUUUUUUGUUAUAUUUUGUAUGGAAGUUGCUUCAUUAUAGUAUAUUUUUGGGUGUACAGUAUUACAAAAUUAUGCCUUGUCUAUAUGAAAUCUGCCUGGCUGUUUAUAUACAGUGAACCGGGGCUAGCAAUCUCGGGUAAUGAGUUGUUUGGUUCUGGUUGUAUACUUGGUCCUGUUUUUUGGUCAACCGGAACCUCCUGUUUUUGGGUUAACUGGGACCCGAAACAGGUUAAAAAUUUCAAUCUGGAGCCGACCUGUUCAUAAUGACCUGAGCCAAUGUAGAAUCUGAAUCUGGUUCAAACUUGAAACAUUGUAUGGAUAAAACGAGAUAAAAUGAGACAGUGAGUUGCUAAUUGUGUUUGUAAGUGUCUCAAUGGUGAUUGAGUUUUGAACAUGCAGAAAGACGGAAAUGCAGAUUCUGCUGCAAAUUCUACUGUAAGUACCACUGAUGACUGUUAGUAGUUAAUGGCUUUCACUGAUAAAUAUCUAGAUACUUUGUUAGUUUGUUUGGAUGAUUUGAGUAAUAUUUUUAAUUACUUAUGUUCAUGCUCAUUCUUCCAGAAACAGGAGGGCAUCCCCCCACGCAUGUUUAAAGCAGUGAUUGCUUCAAGCCACCCUGAAUUCUCUACUAUGAGACAACAAGUAUGUUUGACACCAUACAUGAACCAUAUCUAUCUCUUCUUAGGUUAUUUUGAAGUGGAUUCAACAAUUUCUUUGAACUUAAUCGUAUUAUUGGACAUUUUCUUUUGUUUAUGUGGUUAUUAUUGAGGUAAUCUAUUGAAUAAGUAAUUAAGAAUACAAUAUUUUUUAGGAUGCAUUUGAGUUCUUCCUACAUUUCAUUGACCAAGUUGAAGUACUAAAUGCUGGCAACCCUCAAUUGGAUCCUUCAAGGUGCUUCAAAUUUGGUAUUGAAGAGAGACUUCAAUGUCCAUCUGGGAAGGUUGCUUACAAUAGCAGACAAGACUGUAUUCUCUCUCUCAAUAUUCCACUGGACAGAGCCAUCAACAGAAGCAGGUUUUUUUUUUUUUUUUUUUUAAAUAAUAUGAUAUAUCUGAUUGUGAGAGAAUGAUACCUCCCCACAUACUUUUUGCUCAACUUAAUGGGCUGCAAACUUUUUAUAUUUGUGAAUAUUGUAACUGCUAAUCCAAAUCCUCGUAACAUUGGUAAUUCCAGAUUCAACUUUUUCAAUCUUUACAGCUUUAACCAUAAAAGAUUAGACGUGUUUCUUUGGUUGCUGUAGAGCAUCUCCAAUAGCCUCUUUAUUUAGGCUCCUAACUUGAGAUUUGAGGAAGGAGAGGAAAAAUGUUGCUCCAAGAGACUCUUAAGUGACUCUUAAAUCACUAAGAGCCUUUUGUUUCUCUCUCCUCUCUCCUCAAAGUUAAGAGCCACUACAUUGCUCCUAACUUAUUUUUUCACAAUAAAAAAAUCCUUCCCUCCAAUUCACCUCCAUCUUUCCAUCUCUUUUGUUAUAGUGGAGCCCAAUAUAUGAAUAAAAUAUGAAAUAGAGAAGAGAUGUGGAGAGUGUUGUUGGAGUUUACACUCUUAACUUUGUCCUAAAUUGCUAAGAGCCAUAUUUUUUAUAUUAUAUUUAGGAGCCAACAAGGAGGCUCUUGGAGAUACUCUUAUUUAUUUUGCUCUUUACCAGAAGUUUGGAGGGAAUUUGUUUAUUUGGACUUCUUUUUGUCAGGAGUUUAUUUGGACUAUUAGUAAUACAAGUAUAUGUAUAUUUGCAUGUUAUGUAUUGUAUUGUCCAACUCCAGAUAAAAUAAAAUUGAAUAAAGAUGCAUUUUAUGUUUAGUUUCAACGUCAUCUGCAUUGAAAAUUUUCAACCUAAUUACUAAUUUUCUCUUCACCCUUUACUUAACAUGAUCAUGGUUGCUGUGGUAUUGCAGAGUACAGACUAAUUGGACUGGUGAGCCCCAUUGGUACUUCUACCCAUUGUGCCCAUUAUGUUGCUCACACUUACAAAGACGGAAGGUGGGAGAGGUGAUAUAUAACGAUGCAAAAGUUGGGGCUUCCAAAGAUCCUCCAAAAGACAUGGGGUACUUGUAUUUUUAUGAGAGAAUUGUUUCUUAGAUUUUGAAAGGUAGAAAGUAAAAAGGGAAAUCCUUAGCUCAACAGUUCACAAAGAAGCGAGUUUGCGUAACAACUGUGUUUACUAAAAUCAUUUGCAAAAGCGUCUUGUACUGUCCACAUUCACAAAGAAACAUGAUAUGAUGUUAAUAGUGAUGUGGAUGUGAAAAAUUUCUCUGGCUCCAGCUAAUACAGCUUCAUAUCCACCAUUUCUUGUGAAAAUUCUGUUUCACCAAAGACCUCGUGCAAUAAUUUCUCCGUAAAGCUGAUUAGUUUCUGGUUUAGCACUGUAGAGAUAUUUAUUCAAUCAAAUAGAUAGACCAAUAAUUUGAUCAAGAGAGAAUAUUGAACACACAUUUGGGACGUAAUCUGUUGGGUUAUCUCACAUGAAACACUUGAAUAAAAAGUUAUUUACGAACGAUUUAAAUGGGAUGAUAAAGAGUAGGGGGUCUGUUAAGUUCUGCGAAUAAUACGUGGAACACCUAGGCCGAGAUCGAAAUAAGUUCUCGCUACUCUGCGACAGAAUAAAAACAUUAAGUUACUGGCUAGCUAUGGAAUUGUUCGGUGACUAAACAUUUUUGCGGGGACUCUCAAAAUAGAUCAUCUGUCUAUAACUCUGUUCUAAUACUUCUCGGGGGUGAUCCAGAAUCAAACUCGGAUGUUUCGGAAUAAUAAAAUAUAAACUCACAAGCUAUCUGAUCAUGAGAUUUUUUUUCCUUUUGGAAGAUACAGAUCAUGUUCAUAUUCACGAUAUUUUGAAGCAUGAGUCCAUUGAAGAACUUGUUAUAUUGACCGAUAUUGACCGACUUAUAUGAUCGAGGGAGUACUAUGGACCUGUUUGACGUAUUUUAUUUACGAAAAAAUUACAUAAAUAUGAACGUUUUGUAAAAUAAUUUAUUUAUUUCUACUAUAUAAAUCAGGUUAAACGUCUCUUUACUAUUUCAUUAUAAGAAAAAUGUAAAUGUGAUUUAUUUAUCUUUGAAAUAAGUCUCUAUAUUCACCGUUUAAGAUGAGUCAAACAUGCUCUUAUAUCUCUUGUUUCAGUUAGAAUCUCUACAAUUUACAUAAAUCAAAUAGUACAUUUACAUAUGAAAAACUGUAAACUAACAAAAAAAACCGAACUUUUCAUUUACAUAAUACAGUUAUCAGAACUAACAUGAAAAAGCUUCCAGGCUCCCUGACAGCUCUGAAUACUAUUCAUCUACAUUGUUCCGGUCAGAAUCUCUAAAAUUCUCAUAUAUAUCAUAACGAGAUAAUUUUGCGUCGAAUGAUACUACAACAUCCUCUGUAUAUACAUCAAAAAUCAAGAGUGAAGCUGUCCACCGGUCUUUUCCGCUGAACAUAUGCUACUAACAUACGUAUGUCAGGAACCUGGACCCGAUAAAUAAUAACGCAGAAACCAAAUUGAGAAAGAGACAGCUUCCAGGCUCCCCAGACUGCUUCAGAUAGUAGUUUCUUCAGAAUACUUGUCCCAGCAUAACAGCAUACUGAUGCACUCCCUCAUAAUAUACAGCUUUCCUCUCUGCUGUCUCACAAAUCUCUUCAACUUUGCAAAUCUCCUUACCAACCUCCCCAUACUCUUAUAUAGCCCAGCACCAAUGCAAUCCCCUUCUGCAGCUAGACCAAGUCUAGUAGCCAAAUAUAUUUAUACAUAUGACUUAGGAACAAAACAUACAGAAUCUCAAGUAGAGUUUAAUCUUCGGCAUAGGGUCCAUUUGUUUCCUCACUAAGCAUCACUAUCACGUGUAGGCGUGCUACUUGGCUCUCUUGCAACGCGAAUUAGUUCUUCUCAUUGCCUUUGAUAAUUCUUCUACUAAGUUAAAUCUUGCUUAAAUCCAAGACAGAACCUUAUCUUCCUCUUCAGAAGCCCUACAUCAUAGUCUUUUAUUGGACCAUUUUCGUUUCUUUUUCAAAAUACUCACGCUCACACAAACAUGGAUACGGUGCAUGGUGGCUGGUGGUGGUCCUCAGCUUUUCGGAACAACCUGUUUGAGUGACCCCAAAUAACAACCACCAUACAUGAGGUUUAAUUAAGGCCACUUCUAAUAAAGAUCUUUACAUGAUAGAUUGUUACAGUAACACGAGUACUUGAGAUAUCUUUUUCAUAUAAUUGUCGAUUAGAAUGCAGGGGAAACAUAGAGGGCUCCUGAUUAUCUAAGGAUAAGAUCUCUACUGUUGUUUGAAUCUUUGUGGACCUCUAUUAUGCUACUUAUAAUGGCCUGAUCAGUAUAUUAGUUUGAAAUAAUAUGGCGAAAUUGGGGUUUUGGCCCUAUAAACUGAGUUAGUCGCAAUCUAUGAUAACGCGGAGUUGGUCUUUAGUGGCAGACCAGGGGAGACAUUAAAGAGAAAUGGGUUUCAAAGUACAGUAUAGAGACUUCUUGAUUUGGAAUGUAAUGCAUAAUUAAAGUUAAAAGAACAAGCUGAAAUCAAGAGUGCAUGUGGGAGAGAUAGGUUUCGGAUUUCACUAACUCAAACGAUAGGGCAGAGCUGCUAUCUUGCAGAGAAACAAGAUCAAGUGAAGACAGAAACUUUUUAAUGGGAGACAGCAUAUAUAAAAGCAUUUAACAAAAGAUACUAAGCAUAUGGAGAAUCAACAAAAGAAACUUAACACUUUGUAUAAAAAUCUAUAUAUGCAGAGAGACUGAGAGAGAGAGAGGGAGAGAGGGAGGGAGAGAGAGAGAGAGAGAGAGUGAGAGAGAGAUACUUCAUACUUCCCAUUUGCAACUGAAUGUGUAGUUUCUAUAAUUCUGCUUCACAGACCGACAUUUGAAGUGCUUUUAUGCAAGUUUCCCUGAUUGUGGAGUGCUUUUAUCCGACAAUCAAUCCCAAACACCUUGGCACUAACAAGGCCCGACAUGCCACCACCACUACCUUCUAUCUUCCUCCAUAGCCACCACCGAUUACAGCAACAAAUUAAACCCAUAAAGCACUUUAUAUUGAUCUAUAUUAUCGAUACUCUUGUGACAGUGACAUUGUAAUCUUGAUAUUUAUCUCUCUUUUCAGAUACCCUCUUGAGUCUUGAUCUAAUCUUAUUCCUACCUAGACAUUCAUAGUGAUUAUGACUCAUUAUGAGUAAGCAUCUGCAAAAUGCAUACAUAUAAUUCGAGAAGAUACAAGUUAUAUACUAGAACUAGAAGAUGAGUCAUGUGUGCAGAGAGAAAAAGGAGCUUGUUCAAACUUCAUUUAGUUGGUUCACAGUUAAUUAACCAUCAAGAAUUGUUACAAAGUUGGUGAUACAAACAGAGCCUAAAUUCUUAAAUCAAUAUAACAUGAGUGAUGAGGCACAUUUUUACAACACUAACAAGAUAAUAGUUACGUUAUGAAUCUACAAACUUUCGUGCUACUUCAAUAUCCAAAAUUUCAAGUCCUUUGAAGGUUGUAUGAACCUAAUGUUCAUUGAGCACAUUCUGAACCCCUGAACACCGACAACCCUCUGGUCUACAGCUCUGAAUGGGAUUCCCGGGGAGGGGGGAGGGGACUCCCGGAAAGGGGGAAUGGAAAGUUUUAACAGAAGUCUCCUUUAACAUGUCAAGUAUCACACUACACUAUAGUAAAUAGUAGCUGGCAUGAGUAAGUUAACUAUUCGAAACAAUUUAAACAGACUAUUCCUAGAAAUGCUCAAGGUUGAAUCCUAACUUCUUCACCAAUCAUACCUCUGCAUCCGUUUUACAUUCACAUCAUCGUAACAAACUAUGAGAACCAGAGAAUAUCAUCAUAAUACUCGGUGUAUAAUAAAGGUUAACUGUAUGGUGUGGUAGACUCAGGUAUUAUAAUAAAUAAUAUCUCAGCAUAUAAUUUAUCAGAGAAUUGUACUAGUCUUGACAACUUUCACAUUGUCUUCUUACAUAUAUUUCAUCAUACAUAAAAUACUUGCCAUGGACAUACGCUGCAUAAUAUGCAGAACAUUAUACUGAUGCUUUCUUCCGAGCUCUACUUGCUAAAUACUUGGUACUAAAGCCACUAGCUCACAUAAGGCGCCUACCCCUUGCCUCCAGAUAUCAGUUUAGCAUUUUUAUCAAACAUUGACAACCAGAGCCUGCACUUAAGGUUUGUAAAUGAAACCAUGUCCACACCUGCAUCAAACGGAAAGAAAUUGAUCAAGAAACAACCAUAUAAAUAGCAAAUUAAAACAAUAGAACUAUUCCUAUCAAAUUUUACAAUGAUGACUGUAAGAGGCCUAAAGGCACCAAGUUUGCAAACUGGCUCUCUAUUAUCCUAAUGCAUCAAACAAAAAAAAAGAUGUGGAAAAUCUGGAUCCCUGGGCUACAAUACCUACAUAUGCUGCAAGGCAGAGUAGCUUCGAUUAAUCUACUAAACUAUGAUUUUGAGAAAUAUACUACAAAAAUUUACACCAACAACAGAGUUAUCAUUCACUAAGUAUCUAGGAUCCACUUUUCAUUUCUCGUAUUAGGUAAUGGCUAAUUUUAAUGAUUAACUAUUCACUUCUCACCUUUUUCACACUCUUUUCACAUUUUUUACAUUAUCCUCUACGUAGUAGAAGUAAGAAACACUUUUUUUAAACUUAUCAAAACGGUCCCAUAUAAGUUCACUUCUGGCUCAAGCCAGAAAUCUCAGAAGUUAGAAACCCUACUUUUUUUCGGUCACUUAUUUUUGUUUUUAAAUUUGAUUUACAAAAAUAUAUAUUCCCGGGUUAAAAUAAUUUACAAUGUUUUAUUAUUAAAUUAUAAUUUUUAUACCCGUUAAAUUGUAAAUAUCCAAACACAUAAUUAAAAAUUAUUUUUCUAACCAUUCUUCUAAACUAAGUCAAACGCAACAUGUCAUGAUCGGUUCCACUCAAACUCUUGAGAUACGCACCUAAAUCAUUUAAUUAAAAUUACUCUGUCCGCCAUGUGUAAAAAAAAUCGAAAACAGAACUCGGGAUGACCAGUAAAAAUACCUGCAACGAACAGCUGAGCAACCCAUAUAUUUAUCGAUAUAGAUCUUGCAUCCAGGACAUCUCUUCCACCUUCGAUUCUUCGCAAGCUGCAUCAGCAAAAGAUCCUCAGCUUCCCUCUCAUCCUUACUCAAACUCUGAAACUCCAAACAUUCCACCCCCAAAUGCCACGGCACACGACAAUUCGCGCAGAAAUCCCUCUCACAGUACUGACAAUUCGACAAAGUAGCCACCAUCCCAUCAUCAAUCAACAUAGCAGAGCAAUCUUUGUAAGGGCAAUAAAAUUUCUCCCAGUCAAAAAUCACGGCCUCGCAUAACGCCUUGCCCCAUCGAUCAAACACCUCAAGCGGCAAGAUCAAGCGACAAUCCUCGGGCUCUAACAGUCCCCUGCAGCCCGGAACAGGGCAGAGGAUUUGAGUAAUGUUGUCUUGGAGCUUGCUUGCGAUGUACGUAACGAUACAAUUAGUACAAUACGAAUGAGUACACCCGUUGAUCGAAAAGGCCUCGUUAAAACUCUUCUCAUCGACACAUAUUUCACACACAAAGAGAGUACUGGCUUGAGUGUUUGAUGACUCGCCAGCCUCGAAAGUGGAGUUUAGAGUGAUUUUACGACGAGGGUUUCGAUUUGGGAAGGGGAAGGAGUCGAGAACAUGCACGUCUUCGUAAUGGGUUUCUUGCGUUGCACGGUUAAGGUCAAUGAAGAAGCGUUUCUUGUGGUUUCUUGGUUGCAUGGAGUUACGGUAGGUUUCAACUGAAAUGGCGUUUUCUUUGGUGGCUCCCAUCGGUGGGUUGAUGGGGACGUGAUGGUCGUCGUCGUCGUCGGGGAUUUCGACGAUCUCGACUGGCUUGACCUUGGUCGCCUUGGAGACGUAUGUGGUUGAUGUGUGUACAAGUGAUGAAAUAGGGUUUGUUUAAUAUUUUUGGUUUGGGUUAAUUAUCAAACUCAUCACUAAAGUGGACAAAUGGUAUCAACUUCAUCACUGAUCUCCACGGGGUCUCAAGUUGCUCACUAAACUCGCUUAAUGGUAUCAAACUCAUCACUGUUGUUAAAAAAAAGUAACGGAAGUUAGAGGGAGUGACAGAUUGGCGGUUGACGUGGCACAUUAAUAAAAAAGACUGAAGAAAAACAAAUGAAAGAAAAUAAAAAAAAGUAGAAAAUAGAAAUGCCACAUAAUUUGAAGUUUAUAUGAAAAUAAAGUAUGCAAACUUUUUAUUAAAUUGAUUUUAGGAUAUAAUUAUCUAAAUAAAUGUAUCGAACUAAAUUUUAAUAUAUAAUUAACUAAACAAUUAAGAUUAACUUUUAUGUUUUUUAUUAGAUUAUAAUUUUUUUUGAAUAAUAUUGAAUUUUUUUCUCUUUUAAUAAAUUUUAUUUAUGUGAAUAUUAUUGUUGGCAAAAAAAUAUUUCCAAUUUUUUUUAUAUCACCAACUUUUUCAAAAUUUUAAGAAAAAUCUAAAGAUAGAACAUAAAGAAAUUCAUUUCGAUUUUUAACACUUCUAUUUCUUUUGGAGUUUUUCGUACCAAACAAAAACAUAAAAAUAAAUAUAUGUAAAUUUAACAUAUGAAGCAACAUACAUUGUCCAAAUCUUCAAAAACAACACAUAAUGUUGAAAAAUAUUUUUUUGCCAACAACAAUAUUCACAUAAAUAAAAUUUAUUAAAAGAGAAAAUAUUUCAAUAUUUCAAUAUUAUUUCCUUUCAUUUGUUUUUCUUUAGUUUUUUUUAUUAAUGUGCCACGUCAACUGCCAAUCUGUCACUCCGUCUAUCCUCCGUUACUUUUUUUAACGGCAGUGAUGAGUUUGAUACCAUUAAGCGAGUUUAGUGAGCAACUUGAGACCCCGUGGAGAUCAGUGAUGAAGUUGAUACCAUUUGUCCACUUCAAUGAUGAGUUUGAUAAUUAACCCUUUUUGGUUUUUAUGAAGGGAAAUGGUAGUUACCUAAAAAAAUUGUUUCAAUUUAUUCUUCGAUUGUCUUGACUCCAAUAAUAACGAGACCCUUUCUAUCUAUGCACAUCAAUCAUCUAAUCACAAUUUUUGAAUUAGGAAAUUUCUACGAGUACACAUUAUCCUUUUAUGAAAUGCGGAUGCAUGUAGAGUUCUAUUCUAAUAAAAUUCUUUUUAUGAAAUGCGGAUGCAUGUAGGGUUCUAUCCUAAUAAAAUUCUUAGUUAGGAUUUUCGAAUUACUAAUUUAUUUAUCUAAACAUGUAUGAGAAAUAUUAGGUAUCCAAAAAAGUGUUAACAAUUUUAUUUUUUUCCCAAAUUCAAUUGGCAAGAUAAGAUUGGUUCCUCCCACGCUAAUAGACCAUAUAUACUUAAUAAAAAUUUUGAAAACAAAUUCUGAGAUACGUAGCAUUUUCAUUUUAUAAAUUCGUAUUUGUUUUAGUUUAUCUUUAAAAGAUUAUAAUAUCUUGGACGGGCCGAAUCACCUCUCCAUAGCAGUUUGAUGAGCAAGUCCAAUAGGUUACCUAUCCCAUUAUUUAUAAAUAAUAUAAAAUAAUAAUUGUUAGUAUGUCUUAGUGAUUUAGGUAAUCUAUUUUUAGUGUCAACUCCAAUGGUAUUUCCUAUAUUUGUUCUCCUAAGAUUAAUUUAAUAAUAAAUUUGGGAGAGAGAAGGGGAAAAGGAGAGAAUAGACAAAGAAAGAAAGAGAGAGAUGAUUAUAUUAUUCAUAAAUAUUAAAUAGGUAAUGGCUAGAGGUUACUUAUAAAUAGGUAAUGGCUAGGAGAAUUAAAGUUCUAGUGAUUUAGGAUAACACUAGGAUAGUGUUGGAGUGCAUUUUUUUUACCCAUUACCUAAAUGUGAGUUUAGGACAUCAUAUAGGUAACCUAUUGGACUUGCUCUAAUAUCCUUACAGGCCUGAUAUGCUAGGCCUGUAGAGAUGAGUCCAAUCAGUUACUUUCCUAGGUCGACCCAACCAUUUCUUUAUAGUUUCUUUUUAGGAUGUUUCUUCCAAUUUUUUACAUCUCAAAACUUAUUAAAAACUAGUUGAGAAGCCGCGCGUUGCGGCGGCCUAUAGAAAUCAUAUUAAUGAUUCAAAAAUAAUAUUUGUAGAACAAAAUCAAUUUGCAGCAACUUAUAAAAAUUACAUUAAUGAUUCAAAAUUAAUAUUUGUAGAAUAAAAUAAAUUUUAUAUUAUAAACAUCUCGAUCCAAUACCAAUAUUAAUAUUUAAAAUUGUAAAAUUGGACUAUAAUUCAUGAGUGAAAAAAUGAUAAUAAAUUUCUACAUGUAAUUAACGAUUUUAAAGCACGGCGAAUCUUAAUUUCAAUUGUGUUUUUUUUAAAAGUAAUCAUUUUCUUGACUAACAUUAUUAUUAAGUUUUCUAAACACUGCUUCUUAGACAUUUAGCCAUAUACAUCGAUCGUCCAAUAAAACAGAGAGUAAGCUUGCAAACAACAACAAAUACGUCCGACGACCAAAACAAAUAUUAUAAAAGAAUAACCAACAAACAUAUAUAACUGUGAUUAGGGGUUUGUAUUCGGUUAAUCGAAACCAAAAUUCUAUGAAAAAUUCUACUGAAUACUGAACCUAAUUAAUUUCGGUUUUGUAACCGAACCGAAAUUUAAAUUUCGGUUAAUAUUGAAAACAGAAAUUAUUAACCGAAAUUUUCAGAAAGCCUCUAAAAAGUGAAAACUAUGAAAAUAAUUUGAAAUAAACAUCAUUACAUCAAGCAUUAAGAUAAUUUGUUGCUUAAAAAUUACAACUACAAGUCUCCGAUGAGUCAGUUUAAGACAGUACUUAAAAAUAUUUAAGUUCACAAUCCAAGUUAAUAAAAAAAUUCUUCAGCCGGAAGCCAGUAGCCAGUCCUCUAUUUCUGCACCCGAUAUCUUCAUUUGAUAAUGUCACAUGCACCUGAUUUUUUUUUAAAAGUAAAUAAAACUUCGGUUAACCGUGGUUAAAAAACCGAAUAACCGAAAAAUGAAAAUUCGGCUACCGAAAACCAAACCGAAAUAUAAAUUUCGAUUAACGGAACCGAAAUUAUUUCAGUUAUUCGGUUCGGUUAACCGAACCGAAUGCACAUCCCUAAUCGUGAUAUUGAGAGAGAGUGUAGGUUGUGUUUAGAUGAUCCAAAACCCUAAAAAGUAAAAACUAUAGGGGUAUUUAUAAGUGCAUAGAGACUUAUGUGCUACUCUUUUCUAUAAUUAAAUAAUCUGAAAUAUGAUCAGAUUAAAAAACUUGCAAGUUACUAUAUUUCAUAAAUAAACUGAAACAGAAUCAGAUUAAUACUUGUAAUCUAUUAUAUUCAAUAAAUAAUCUGAAACAGAAUCAGAUUAGUUUAUGCCAAGAUAUAUACCAUAUCAAUUAAUCUGAAACAAUUUUUUUUGAUAUCUUUCAUCCAAAAUUCCAGAAAAUUAGAAAAAUAGAACGGAGCUAUCUGAGAGGCGCCACCUACACAUUUUUUUUUUUUCCUUUACAUAAGUAUAUUGAUUUCGAACCAGAUUAUAAAUAAAUAUACUUUUAUGAGGGUGUUUAUAGGUGCAGACAGACUUGGGUUCUGCUCUUUCCCAUAAUUAAAUAAUCUGAAACAAAGUCAGAUUAAAACUUUGAAUUUACUAUAUUCCAUAAAUAAUCUAAAACAAAAUCAGAAUCUGAAACUUGCUUCUAAUAUAUUCGAAACUAUAAAAGGUAGUUCUAAUUUUUGAUAUAUUUCAUCCAAAAAUUCAAGAAAAUUAGAAGAAUAGAAAGUUGUGUGCUACUAUUUCCCAUAAUUAAAUACUCUGAAACAAAAUCAGAUUAAAACCUUGAAGCUACUAUAUUCCAUAAAUAAUCUAAAACAAAAUCAGAAUCUGAAACUUGCUUCUAAUAUAAUUGAAACUAAAAAGGUUAGUUCUAAUUUUUGAUAUCUUUCAUCCAAAUAUUCCAGAAAAUUAGAAAAAUAGAACGGAGCUAUCUGAGAGGCGCCACCUAUACGCCCCUCGCUUCUCCUUUAUAUAAGUAUAUUGAUAGUCAAUUGAUCCCGCCAUCUUCCCACUUUUCCUCUAUUUUCACGCUACUUCCCUUUAUACAUUAAAAAUCAAUGUGUCUCACACCACUCCAUCCACUUUUCUUUCACUUUUCCACUAUUUUAUAUCUAAUUCUUAAUUUCCGACUUUUCUUUCACUUUUCCACUAUUUUAUACCUAAUUCUUAAUUUCCGUGUCCAAAUUAAACGUAAGAACUGACUAGGACGGAGGGAGUACAUAUAUAUUAACCUCCGUGCCUAAACCAAACAUAAAAAAUUGGCCGGGACGGAGGAAGUAGCAUCUAACAUCGAUUAGUAAUUUUUUUUUAAUUACAACUGGCUGUUCAAAAGUAAAACUGAUAUCUUUACACCGACCACAAUAACUAAACCUUAAUAUAUAUUUAGGAUUGGAUAUCAAUAAAUCUGAAUACAUACGAUGAACAGAGAGAGCCAUUAGAAAUCUUCAUCCAGUUUAAAGACAAAGUUUCCGUCGCCAUGUUGUAAAUUUGACAUAAUAGAAGCCUUCUGAUAAUCUCCCACCCGUCUCUCGAAAAAGUUGGCUUUUCCUCUGUCAUGAAAGCAAAUAAACAGUAGCACGUUAGAAUUUCCAAAUAGUCAGAAACCCGAAUCUUCCCUUACAAAUCCUUGGAGAAAAACAUAGAUACUAGAAAUGUGUUUCAAAAUGUCAUAUAUAUUCCUUGGUUCCUCAUCUACCAAUGUGGACAAAGGCGAUGACUGUAUACAUUUGCUUCACUAGUGCGUUCAACUUAUAAUUAAAAGCACUUAAAACUCAUUAUCAGUUUCCAUCGGAAUACUUACUGCAAAGAGAUGAAUUCCAUCCAGUCAAAGGGAUUCUCUACAUUGUACUUCCUCUCGCACCCUAAGGCUUCCUGCAAGAGAGUGAUUAUAGUUUAUAGAUCACCUUCAGCUCAAUCACAGCCAAAGUAUAACUUGAAGACAGGAAAAAAUAAUAGCCUUACCAACAAUCUGUCAGCAACAAAUUUUAUAUACUGGCUCAUCAAGGUUGCAUUCAUGCCAAUCAAAGCGCAUGGGAGGGCCUCACAAACAAACUGACACUCUAUAUCUACAGCUUCAUGCACAAUCUGAUGAACUUUUUGUGGCUGCAGUUUCUUCCAUAGUAAACUAGAUAAACACAAUAUAAAAUCAAAAUAGUCCUGUAUCACUUCUUUUAGAAACAAUGAUCAGCAAGUUCAGACCUCGUAUAUUUAGCUUUCAACAAAACUAACCUGUAUAGACUGCAAGCAAAGUCACAAUGAAGACCCUCAUCUCUUGAAAUAAGUUCAUUUGAGAAUGUCAAACCUGGCAUCAAUCCUCUCUUUUUAAGCCAAAAGAUGGCACAAAAGCUGAGAACAAGAUGACGAUUACUAGCAAGUAGAUUGCGAUCACAUGCGGGGGGAAAAAAAAAACAUAUCUGGCUAUCUGCUAAUGUAAAGGACAUAUAACUAUAAGACUCAGACAGCUGGUUUACCUUCCUGAAAAGAAUAUUCCUUCAACACAAGCAAAAGCAACAAGUCUUACCGCAAAAGACGUAGAACUGCAUGAGAAUGCAAGGAAUAGCUGAUGACAUUUAGUCCCAACAGUGUAUUCAGUUGGAAAAUAAAAUUAUCUACCUAAAAUAUCAAUAUACAAAAUCCUAUUCACUUAGUUUAAGAGUUUUCAUUGAAGGACAUUGCACUGACGUUGCAUUAAACUAUCUAUCUAAAGAUUCUGUUCAAACUAAUCUUUACAUUGUAGUGGAUGAGAACAGAACACAGUUUCGGGAAUCUAUGUAGCUUUUUAAGAGACAUGAUUAACUUCUAAUACACAAGCAACGGGGGAGGGAGGGAGGGUGCCUUAAGCAAGAGAAGAGAUAUCAAACAUAGAAUUCCUUUUUCUUUUCUUUUUUCAAUUUGCUUCUAGCGGGCAAGUCUGAUCAAAGUACAAUCACCAAUUAAGAUGCAACAAAGUUCCUAAAAAUAUAUUAACCGCAAUCCAGUCCAUCAGAAAAUUAUGAUGAUACCUUCUGAUCCAGUUUAAAGCCCACUGAGCUUUUUGAGCAACACAUGGAAUACUUUCAAUGGCAUUAAACAAUCUAUGCUUCUCCAUCGAAUCUUUGAUAUAUGUUUCCAAAAGUAAGCUGUACAUCUCUACAAAAAUGGCAAGUUAAUCAUAUCAAAUAUCAGAUAGAUCAUGACUGGAAUGGAAGAAUAUCACUGCUAAAUGAAUACAAAACACUACCAGAAUGAAUAUUUUCCAUUGCAAUCUGAAAACCAUAAAAAGCUCGAGCCUGUCAAGAGAAACAACAGUUGAUGCUAUUCAACGAGGAGACAUAAGUACGAUCGGCAUAUAAUGUAGUCAUCUCCACCUGCUAUCUGUUUCUGCGAAGCACUGUCGACAUAAUGGCACAUAUAAGGUUAAAUUAAUUCUGUUACAUACCCUAAGGGUUACCCCAUUUCAUAAAGAAAUCCGUUAAUACAAAAUUUAGUGGCAAGUCAUAACAAUCCCAGUCUUUCAGCCUCUACAGGAUUCUGAAAUUCAAGUCACAUACUUCAGGAUUUCACUUUUACUAGCAAGUAUCAAGAAAGUGAUCAACCUAUGACUUUGUGAUUUGUGAUACGAGAACCGAUCUUAUAUAUUGACCUGUUCAUAUUUCUAAAUCCUAAGGGAAGAAGAAAAGCAAUUGUAGCAACAUGGCUGAUUAAGUAUACAAUUGUAACAGAUAAGACUUCACAAUUUGGUCUUUCUUUUCUUUCACCAAGAUGGACUUCACAAUUUGGUCAAAAUCAAUAUAUUUUCCACCAUGAGUCCAUGACAGUGAUGCAACGUACUACUAAUAUAUGUUUCAUAUGUACGCUUAGGAUAAACUAAAGAUUUUGCAGUCAAUUACAAUAUCGAAUCUUAAUCUUAUACCAACAUUACAUGCUUCAAAAUUUAAAUUAGCGCAAUGCCUCAAUUGUUGUUAAUUUACCUCAGGAAUUUGAACAUCAUUCAAAAAUCUUGCAGCUAAAUUUUCCAGAACAAUUCCAUCUGAUGCAGCGAAAAAGGCCAAAACGUGGCUUAUAAAAUGUUUCUCAGAAGUAGACAAAGUUUCCCAGUGUUGCACAUCGAGAGAAAGAUCAACUUCCUCCACUGAAGCCCAGACAUUUAAAUAACAUAGCAAUUAGAUAGAGCAAAUAUAAGGACUCUGUAACAUUAAACUGCUUUACAAGGAGAAAAAUGGUUGAUUAAUCCCCCGCUCUUAUUCAGUUAGACUAUCAAUAAGAUGGUACCCCUGUCAAAUUAAGCAUUUAGAAUCACCCAAUGACAAACAUAAAACGCCCAAAAAUACACAUUUAUGUAGACAUCCAUUUCCACAGGCUAUGCAGCUGUAAUUAGUAUUGUCACAACUAAUAUAAAAGCAUCUUCAGGCAAUUUAUCAAAUAAAAAUAUUAUUGCUAAUUCACUUGAUUAGUUUCACAAAAAGUUCACUGUCCCCAUCACCCAAGCAUGCUUCAUUGUGUCACCAGACAACCGUAUUAUUUUGCAGUAGUAAGGUAUUAGGCAGAUCAGUAUAAAAAAGGUGCAGAUUGCACCAAGCAGUGGUUGGGUUAGUUCAAAUUUGGAAUAUAUAACAGGACCGAUCGAUUUAAAACCUUUUUAAAUCUUAUGGCAAGUCCAACAAUGUCUUAAAAUGAUUCCAAAGCUAAAAUUUAAGACAUUUGGAAGAAAUGAGUGCUCCAACAAUGUCCUAGUGGUGCCUUAAAACACUACUACAUCCAACAAGUGCCUUACUUUUAAGGCACCACUAUGCAAGUGCUAAACCAUUUUUAUCAAUAAAAAAAUUAGUUUCCCUUCAUUUUAACACAUCUCUUUCCUUUCAUAUUUUCACUUCCCUCCAAUAAUAAUUCAAAUAUAUUAUUAUUUUAAUAAUAAGGCAUGUUGUUGGGGUUCAUACAUCAAAAUGAUGUCCUAAAUUACUAAGAGUCUAAGACACCAUUUUUUAUUAGCGAGAUGGUCCCUAACAAGAGAUUGUUGGGAACAAUCUAUACCUAAUAAAAUAUCGGGGAUAGCAAAAAACCCUAAAGUGGGUGUAUAAACCGCGGAUAGGCCUGAUGGCCCCCCUGCAUACACAUAAUAAACCUAGUGUAAUCUCUUUCCGCUAUAAAAUAAUGCGGAUAGUUUGAUGCAACAAACCCAUAUCAAGGACCCGGACCCUUUUUAUUAUAUUCAUAAGGCAUUUAGUAAUUAGUAGUACAUUGUUGAACUCGCUCUUCACAAAAACUAGAUUAACCAGCCCCUUCAACCUCAACCAAAUCGACUAGGCACUAUUUACCAAAAUAUCACAACAUAUAACAAAAUUUGAGAGCCUAUACAAAUCAAAGUACAUAUGCAUGAACAACAUAGCCAUUAGCCACACAAAAUAAAAACCUAACACAAAUUUUAAUAAAAAUCCACCGACAUAUAUAUAGAUAUAUUGAGAGAAAACCUGCCCAAAAACUGGCUUGAGCCCUCUUAUACAUCUCCCAGAGUUGAGGGUAUUUAAUAGGGAACAUACAGAACUUCUGGGGCUGUUCCAUUAGUAUUGGCUCUUCUUCUUCCUCAAUUUGCACUCCUUUUGUUUCAUUUUUACUACAACUCAUUUUUUCCUGUGUCCAGAAUCUUGAAAUAUCUGUGAUUGCAAAAUAUAUAAAAAGUCAGAUUAAAGGGAUUAUUUCAGACACAAGCCUUUGAGAAACAGAACAAGACACAUAUGUACAUGUAAAUCAGUGUAUGUGUUAACGAUGAUAUGUGAAAGCGAUGUUCUGGUUUUGUCCCUGCAAUCGCGUAUAUUUAUUUCUGGAGUAUUUUUCUGAAGGUUUUUUUUUUCCGGAUUCGGUUUUCAUGCUAAAUACAAAACCAAUACUCCCUCCGUCCCCCUCAAUUGUUUACAAGGGGGACACGGAAACCAAGACAAUGUACGAAAAAUGAGUAAAGUUAGAUAAAAAAUGAAUAUUUAAUAAUAGAUUUGAGAUAGUGAAGGAUAGUGAAGGAAAAUAGUGGGUGUAGUAGUAGUUUUUAUUGUUAAAUAUGAGAUAGUAAGGGAAGACCAUGGGUGUAAUGAUGGGAAAAACUUGCUAACGUAAAUAAAUGAGAGGGUAAAGAAAUGAGAGGGACAGAGGGAGUAUUGAUUAUCAAGAAAAAUAUCAAACUUUUUGCAAGAGCAAAAAAGAAAAAUAUCAAAUUAAAAUUAACAUUUCAAUAUAUGAUAUAAAUUGUGUGCAUUUAAUUAUAAUAAAAAUAAUAAAAUUACCACUCUUUGUGCUACUCUCAUAUUGAAAUUUAGUGUUUUUUUUUUUGAGUAAAUCAUAUUGAAAUUUACUUGAUGAGUUCGUGGUGCAUAAUUUCAUCAAGUUUCAAAAAGUGGUUAUAAUUUUAAAUUUAUAAAUAAGUGAUCAAAAUUUUUACUGAAUUUUAAGAUGAUGAUUGCACUUUAUAAAUUACACUUAGUAAAUUUGUAAUUUAUAUCGAAUUUCACACAUAUAAUCACGUCUUAAAAAAAAUAAGUAAAUAGAUAAGAUCAUAAUAUCAUAAGAAUAUAUAUAUAUAUAUAUAUAUAUAAUAAAUUGAAGAAAAAAAUUGAUAUCACAUACACGCAUAUAUAUCAGUAUUUUUAAAAUUAUAUAAAAUUGGAUCUAAUUAUCUUAAUUUAUUAUUUAUAUUACAAAUUCAUAUAAAAUUAUAUAUAAUUUAAAAAUAACUAAUUAAAAUUCACAUUGCACAUAUUACGAACUAGUAAUUUUUAAUCAACUAUUUUACUAACAAAAAUAAUUGAAGAUUUUAUGAAAAGAAUUCACUGUCCAACUAAUUAUAAAUAUUUAAUAGACAAAGGUAGAUAAAAAAAAAAAAAUUGAGCUAAUUUUGAUAUGCAUCACACAAUCAAACUCACUCCUCCUUGAACAAUCAAACUCACCGGUGAAAUGAGAGGAGAUGUUAAUCAGAUGUUUUGGUCAACUGAUUAACGUAGAUAUAGUAGAUGAUUUGACUAGCGGAUUGAAUUAACUGUUUUUCAUAAAAUAGUUCGAUAAAUAACUGAUUGAUUAGUUUUUCUUGACACAAAUCAAAACCUCUAAUCCAAAAAACUCCUCAAAAGUAGCUUCUUCAAAAUUAAUUUUUUGAAUCCAAACCUCUAUUUCAAUAUGCUAACUACCAAACACUCAUUUCAACAGAUUUUAAUGAUCAAAUCUCUAAAACACCUCAAAUCUCUAAUUUUACUCCAAAAUUCUAGUUUCCAAACAUGCCCUUGUAGUGUGAUGGGUUUUCUCGACCGGACAAGGAUAUAUUAAGGAUUAAAAUUUAUUUCUAUUCAAUUUAGUUUUUUAUCCAAGAAUUAUGGAUGAUUUGGUGUUUAUAAAUAAAGUUGAGAAAAAAGCAAACUAAAAUUUCUUUAAUAUCAACUACUCAUUACACACGAUCAUCACAUUUCGGUGAAUUUUUGGUCAAAUAAUUAUUGAUAGAUGUUUGUUCCAACCUCAUUUUUGUUAAUCACCAAUUUUUUCCGCCAUUAUUGAUCAUUAAUUCACAAACUAAAAAUUUUCAUCAAUUCUAUAAAUCUGAUAUAAAAUAUGAUAAUUAUUUUAUGAGUAAAUACAGAUUGUGUACCUGUAGUUUGCUAAAUAUUCGAUUUGUGUACUUGUAAUUUCAAUAUAGCAGAUUGUGUACUCCAAGUUUCAGCUUCCGUACGAUACGUGUACUGCCGUCAGUACCAUGUGUAUCGCCGUUUGUAAUAUCUGUAGUAAAGGGUGGGCUUUCUUGUAAUAACAGCACAUAAAGCAAUCUCCUCCCUUCUUCAGUUAGAUUUUGGCGCCAAUCUCCAUUACAUCAUCUCAUCUUUACUCUUAAAAAACUAAGCAGCUGGACAUUGAUUUUGAGAUGCCUUGGCUUGUGCGCGAUGGUGAUCAAUCGGCUUGCUAUGCUCCUGAUGAAGCACCCAACUACAGAGGUGAGCAUCUAAUCUCUCGAGCAUCUUUACUUGGUUUUUAUUGAUGCUCCAUAUGAAUCACAACAUAGGGUGCAUGUAAUUAGUGUAAUCUGUUGAUGUGUUAUGUUACUCUCCAAAAUAGUUUGCUAGAAACCUCAGUUUUUGCUGUUUGGUCUAGGUUGUUUUUAGGGUUUAUAUUUUAGGUUGUAUACUGCUUAACAUAUAUGUCUUUUGUGCCACUUUUUUGUUACUCUGCAGAUAAGCCUGAUAAAUUCACUUUGAAAAUUCAUUUUGAUGGCAAAUUUGAAAGAAAUCCUACAGCUUAUGUUGGUGGUUCUAUAAAAUAUGUAGACAUGUGUGAUGUAGAUGAGAUGAGCUACUUAGAAAUUGGGAAUAUGUACACUGAAUGUGGUGGAACUGGUUAUGUUAGUGAGGUUAAUUACAAGCUUCCUGAUGCUGAUUUUGAUAGUGGUCUGUUCCCUUUAUCAAGUGAUGAGAAUGUGUUACAAAUGUGUAACUCUUUGCCAGCCAACAGAGUCAUGUAUGUGUAUGUUUUAAGUGAAGUGCUUCUCACCCAAGACUACCUACCUUCACAACAAUAUGAUCUUUCUUUUAUUGACCCUUUGGAUAAUGCAUAUGAUAAAGAAAUGACAGAGCAACUGUUGCAUCUUGAGGGCCUGCAAAGUGAGAUUUUUGAUGUGGAAGAAGAAGAAGUUGUAAUAGAGAAGGACAAUGCUGAUAAGGAACAAGUGGUAGAUGAGAAUGAUGUCCUCAGUUUUCAUGGUGAUAGCUCAAAUAUGGACUCAACAGAUGAUGAUGUUGCUGCUUUGAGUGAGAAGAAGAAAAAGAGUGAGGCCACCAACUUUGACAACUAUGGUGACUUUGAGUUUGAUAUAUCUGAUCUAACUGGUUUAUUGAGUGAAGAAGCAGGGCAAGUAGGAAAAGAAGGGUCAGAUUUUAGUGAUUACUAUGGAAGUGAAGAAGAGAGGAUGGCUGCUAACACCACAGAUGAAGAAGAGGAGAGUCAACCUGUUUUUAAUGAAGAAACAGAUAUGUCUGAUCCAAAGUUUGAGAUAGGGAUGUGUUUUACUAGUGCUAGUGCAUUUAGGGAUGCUGUGAGAAAGCAAGCUAUUGUGCAAAGAAGGGCAGUGAGACAGGUGAGAAACUAUGGGGUAAGAGUUAAAUUUGUCUGUGAUGGUAAGGGAUGUGGCUGGAAAAUAUAUGCUUCUAAAAUGCAAAAUAGUUCCACAUACCAGAUUAAAUCAUUUGCUGCUGCUCACACUUGUGGACCUACAUUUGAACAAAAGCAAAUGAGCAGCACCUGGUUAGCCAAAAAUUAUGAGAGUGAAAUAAGGAUGAAUCCAUCCUGGCCAUUAGCAUCUUUCCAGAAGAAGAUAAUCAAUGAUUGGCAUUGUAAUGUUGGAUUGUCCAUGGUAGGAAGGGCAAAGAGGCUGGCACUGAAGAAUAUUAGAGGGGACCAUGUUCAACAAUAUGCUAAGUUGUGGAAUUAUGUUAAUGAGGUUAAGAAAGCAAUGCCUGAUUCUACUAUUGAUGUUGUUGUAGAAGCUCAGGAAAUUGGUUUGGAUGGUCCUAGGUUCAAGAGAAUUUAUGUAUGUUUGGGGCCAGUUAGAAAGGGGUUUAAAAUAGGAUGCAGGCCAAUCAUUGGCCUGGAUGGAUGUCAUCUAAAAGGACCUUAUGGAGGGCAACUUUUGACAGCUGUUGGUUGUGAUUCUAAUGAUGGAAUGUACCCUAUAAGUUGGGCUAUUGUGGAGGCUGAAAACACAGACAGUUGGAACUGGUUCUUAAAUCUAUUAUCUGUAGAUGUUGGCAUUGUUAAUUCAGCUAGUUGGACUUUCAUUUCUGACAGGCAAAAGGUAUAUUGCAUGACACCACCUUUUAACAUUAUACAUGCCUAUCUUACAUGUCAUAACUAUGUGUAUCUGUGAUCCAUGCAGGGGUUGAUCAAUGCAUUAAAUGCUGUGGUGCCUAACUCUGAACACAGAUUUUGUGUUAUGCACCUUUACAGAAACAUGGUGAAAGAGCACAAAGGCAUAAUUUUAAGAAAACUUCUUUGGCUUGCUGCAAGGGCUACUACAGAGUAUAUGUUUAACAAACAUAUGGAUGAGUUGAAGAAGGUAUUUGAGUACUCAUAUUUAUGCUUUUAUUUGUAAUAUUUAUGCAUUUAUUUGUAAUAUUUAUGCAUUUAUUUGUAAUAUUUAGGGAUUUAUUUGUAAUAUUUAUGUCCUACAUUCAGCUGUCAAAGAAGUGUUACAACUGGUUGAUGGAAAAGCCCAAAUCACAAUGGACUAGGAGUGCUUUUAGGAUCUUUUCACUGUCUGAUAUGUUUGUUAAUAACCACUGUGAGGUAUUCAAUAAUAGUAUUGGACAAUUUAGAGAUCUUCCUAUAAUAGGGCUUCUGCAAGGAUUACAUAAAAGUGCAAUGGUAAGAAUUCAAACAAGGAGGGAUAAAAUGCUUAAAUCUUACUCCCUCAACCCAAUUUGCCCUGGUGCAAUGAGAAAAGUGAACAAGUAAGAUUGAAUUUUCUACCUUUAUUUCAUAGUUUUGUAUUAAUCUUGUCUAUAUUAAUCUUGUGUUCAAUUGUAUUAAUCUCUGCAAGAGCAAUGUCUUACAUUGGAGGCUGCAUAGUACAAUGGUCAGGGAAGUCAACCUACCUAGUUACUAUGACUGAUGGUGGACAUGAGAUUGUUGUGGACCUGGAUAGGCAUACUUGUGCCUGCAGAAAAUACCAACUCACUGGACUACCAUGCUACCAUGCAUGUGCCUGUAUUAAGUGGAGGAACUUGAAUUUGUCUGACCAUAUCCAUAAGACAUAUACUAAAGCCAUGUUCCUAUCAUGCUAUUCUCACACAAUUGAACCAAUCAACAGUGAGCAGUUUUGGGAAGAAACUGGUGCAGCUCCAAUUUUACCUCCUAUAGUUAAGAUAGCUCCAGGCAGACCAAAGAAAAAAAGGGACUGCAGAAAUGAUGUUAAAGCAGAUAAUCCCAAUGCAACAAAGCUGGUUAGGAGGAAGACUACCUUGAAAUGCACCUACUGUGGAGAAGAAAAACAUAAUGCCAGGAGUUGUAAAGCUAGGGUAAUUUAUUUAAUUUUGCUGGAUUUUUUAUUCAUUCAUUUAUUUAAGAGUCUCUUUAUUUAAUUCAAUUGGAAUUUUUUAUUACAUUCAUGCUUCUGGUGUCCAUGAUCUAUACUGAUUUAAGUUGAAAUUUGUUAUUUAGAAAUUGGAGAAGGAUAAAGAAAGGACUGAAGUAGGUGCUGGUGCAUCUAAGAGGCCAUCCAAGAAGAGUAAUGCUGCCUCAAAAGGCACAACUGAUCAGGAUCAGGGGACAGCUGCUACAAGUCAACAGAAAAUGCCAACACUUAAAAGAAAAAGUAAGGUGGGAGUCAUUGAAGAAGCUGAGACUCAGGGUGGUAUUUUCACAUCUUAUUCUCAGCCAAUUCUAAUGUCACACACUCCUCUAGGGGUGCAACCUACCAGAUUUAGUACAAAUGAAAAUCACACCACAACCUUGAAGAAUUUGGAAGCAGCAGCUGAGGCAAGGAAAAAGAAUUUAGGCAAGAGGCCUGAAUGGAAGCUUUAAUGUAGUCUGAAACACUAAUUUUUUGAGCCUAUCUAUUUUUUUGCAUCCACUAAAUGGAUGAGAAUUAUGUUACAUGUGUAACAUUUGUGACAAAUUGUUAUUUCUGUAACAUACAUUGCUACUAUUAACCUGAUAGGCUGCUAUAUUAACCAGUAGAGGUUUAGUCCACUGUCAUUGGAAAUGACAGUUAUUGUAAAACUCUUUUGACUGUAAUGAAGUUUUAAUGGAGGUAGUUGUUGAUGUGAUUGGCUGUUCAAACCUUGGGAGUAGCUUGCAUUUACACCCUCUUCUGUUUUCUCUGGCUAUAAAUUGAGGUGUAAUUCUUGUUGUUCUUGCAUACAACACUAAUAUUCACAGCUUUUAGGUCUUUGUUUUACUAGCUUUUUCAAUUAACCAUGUCUACAUGGACCAAGCCACAAAAUGGUUAUGUCAAAAUCAAUGUAAAGGGUGUGUUUGUUAGGUCUGAAAUGAGGGCUGCUAUUGCUUGUAUCAUGAGAGAUGAUAAGGGAAACUGGAUCAAGGGCUGCCAAAGCAUGAUUGGCUUGGCAGUGCCAAUCACUGCUGAGUUGUGGUCCAUCUGGUAUGGCUUGAGGUUGGCUUGGGAGAAGGGUGAAAAGUCUGUGAUUCUUGAAUGUGAGUGUGCAGAGGCUGUGGAUCAGGUGCUCCAUCCUGAUGAGAAUAAUGAAAUGUAUGAUCUGAUUGUUCUCAUCAGGCAGAUCAUGGCUGAAGCAUGGGACCAGUGUGACAUUGUGCACAUCCCUGACUCUGCAAACUUGCCAGCUGCUGCUCUUGCAAACCGUGCAAUCCAGGGUCCUGGUGGCCUUGAGGAUCUGUUGGAGCCACCAACCUGUGUCCGUAGGCUCUUGCAUGCAGACAAGAUGGCCUGAUUUGGGAGGGGUUUCUGAGGGGGUUGUGGUUUUAGUUGUUUAAGUUUGUUGUUUAUGUUUGUGUUUGAUUAUGUUGGUCUAUGUAUCUGCAACAUCAUCUAUCUAUCUAUCCACAAGUUUUUAAUUUAGCAAGCAUCUCAAAAUCAAGCAUCAAAAAACCAGAUACCAAAAUCUAAUUAACACUCAACAAACUGCAAAUACUAACAAAUUACUCCUUUCAUUGACUAAUAUUCAAUUUAGUACAAUACAUUACAACAGAGUCAUCAAAAGCAAAUUACAACAAAAGCAUGUCAUUAAGCUCAGUUGUCUUCAUCAUUGCUAUUACACAACACAAUUACAAGAACAAAAAGGACCAUGGCGCAAACAUAAAACCAAUAUGAGUGCUCCUGCCUCGGUGCUUCAAGAGCUUCCUCACGUAAGCUUGCAUUUUGCGCCAUUUCUUCUUCAAGAGCUCUAACCCUCUCUCGCAAACCAUAAAUAACAACUCGACCUUGAAGGCACAUAGGUUCAUCGAUCCACCGGAAAUAGUUGCAGCCACUCCUCCCUCCAACACAACCAACAAAUCUCCUACCGGCGUUGGAUUGAGUCCACGCUGUACGUUGCACGGCUUGUCGACCACAUCGACAGUAUUCGGCCAUUUCUCUCCAGAUUAUGAUUUUAGGUCUAGGGUUUUUCAAUUUGGGGAAGAAAUGACCCUGUGAUCAUGGGUUAUGUUAUAUAUCGCUGGUUUGUAGCCGUUGUGUAGUAAAACUGCAGUUUAGUCACCAGCCUUUUCAAAACCAAACUAACGCCGUUAACAUCUUAUUAACGGUUGUACACAAUAUGUAAAGUUUUUCAAACUUGGUGUACACAAUCUGCUAUAUCGAAACUAGAGGUACACAUAUCGGAUUUGUGGCAAAGUACAGGUACACAAUGUGUAAUUUACUCUUAUUUUAUAAUUCACUCUAAAAUGGAGCAGAAAACAUGUAUAUUGCGUGCAAUCAUCCGGUCUUGGAAUGAAGGUGGUGGACAAGCAAAAAGCCUUGGCCAUACAUGUGUCAACUUACAAUAUACAGCACAUUUGAUUCGAUUAUGUGCAAGUUCAACCAACCUCAAAACCCAAUUGAACAUAAAAAUCACCGGAUCAUUGAUUAGCCAGAAAGAUUAGAUGAUAAUUAGAGAUGACUAGAUUAAAUUAAUGUUAGAAAAUUAAGUGUUUAAGACUAAUUAAGGUACGGUUGUAAUAACAACUUUGUAUAAGAAGGGGUAAAAUGGCUUGAUCAUUACUGAACUGGACUUCAACUUGCAAGUGGAUAACUAAACUCAAAAAGCUUGCAUUCAACUCACUCCACCAGCUUUUACUUGCAAUCACAUAACUAAACUAACUAAAAUUUGCACAUUCAUUAAGUGGUGUUAAAUUUUAACGGAAGCCCGUUAAUACCCAAUAACCCAAAUUCAUCUGACCCGCCCGAUUAUUUUAUAACCCGCCCCAAUUCGAGAACCGGGAAUUACGAGAGGGAACCGGGAAUUACGAGAAUGCUAUUUGUGAGUUUUAAUAUUUUUCUUAUAAGUUUACAUUACUUCUGCUCAUUAAAGUGUACAUGUGUUGUAAUAUUUUUUGUAUAUCUGUAGGUGCCUACACCUGGAACUACAACUCCACCCAAUGUUGCUGUAGAAAAAAAGAAAAAAUGGAGGAAAGCAUGUGGUGCAAAUCAGUUGUCUAAUUCUGCAGCAAUAGUAGUUUAUUAAUGCCAUCAUGUUACAGGCUUAUUUAAGCGUAUUAUUUAAAGUGGAACAAGUACAUAUGGUCAUGAAAUUGGACAGAUUUUUGGUCCCCCCAGAGACUACUACAGUGACAUUUGUUCAGGUUUACUGUUGUCCCCAACGUAUACUUUUUGUUCAUUAACAGUGUGCCUCCUUUCAUUAAAUCAUUAAAGACUUCUGUAUUAAGUAGUUAUUAUUUCGUUUAAUUUCUUCUGCAUACAUUAUUUUUUGCUUAAUUUAUAAAAUAUUUACUCGAUUUUUAUCAUUUUUUUUAAAAUGUGAUUGUAGGAUUUAGUAAUUAUUAAAAAGAAAAAAAUAAAUUUGGCAAAAAAAAGAAGAAAAAAAUAAACUAAAGUUUGCAUCAGAUCCAACUAGUAAUGUACUGCGGGGUAGAUUUUCCGUUAGUCGCGUUAGUUGAUUUAACGGAAGUUUAGUUUAGUUAUGUGAUUGCAAGUAAAAGUUGGUUAAGUUAGUUAAAUGCAAAUUUUUUGAGUUUAGUUAUCCAUUUGCAAGUUGAAGUCCAGUUUAGUAAUGAUCAAGCCAUUUUACCCGUAUAAUAAAUGCAGAUUUUAUAUUGGAUUAGGUGAGAAUCUUUCCAACAUGCAAUAAACUUUGCAAUAUUUUUCCAUGAAUAUAUGGAAAUAUAAUCGUAUACUCAAAGCUUUGAACAAGAGGGGAAAGACGGGACCCACAAGAAUAUAGCAAGUGACUUUAACUUGACACAAGAAAAAUCAUCUCCUCUUGUGAUCCAACACUGCAAGCCACAACUCUGGCACCGCUGAACAUGAACAGGUGAAAAAGGAUGGAUAUGAGCAAAGUCUCUUGAGCAUACGUACUCUAACUGCCUUUGUUCAAAACCAUCAUUCAGUUAUGUUACACAAUUUCAUAUUCUUUAACAAUAUUUUUAGUAUUCGGUAACAGAACUAUAAAAGCGGUAAUUGAAUUUAAUCGGCAAGGACACGCAACAAGGAUUCAUCAAAUUAAUUGGAUUGAUAGGAGAUUAAUCGGAUGAUUAAUUGAAUAAUCGGAUUUUAAUGAAUUCGUGAGUUAUGAAAUAUGAAUUGACCGGUGAUUAAUCCUGAUGUAUUAACUGAUGGUUAGACUAAUGUUUUGUGAUGAGAAGUAGAUUGAUAUGUAAAAGAAAUAACUACCUAGCUAAUGAUUGAAAAUUUGCAAAAAUAUCAAGAUGUGAUUUUUCAUAUUUAUUUUGGGCAUCAUUUUUACGAAUAUAGGUUUAUUUCGAGCCGAACCAAACUUCAACCCGGAUUUUCGAAAAUAAUAAACGAUAAACCUAUCAUUUAGGUUAUCCAAUCACUAUUUUGAAUAAUUUCAAAAAUAUAACAAUAUUAUACAAAAUUUCAGUCAAUUUGACCUGUCAAAAAUGGAUAAAAUUCAAAAGUUGACAAAUAAUAUAGAACGGAGAGCUUAAAGUUGUACUUUUAAAUUUUUGUUAUGAUAAUUGAUAGGAAACUAGCUAAACAAUAAAGCUCUCUUGCCUUUCUAUUCCCUUUUUGGAAAGAUUAAAGAUGCUGUUACAAACAUAAAUUAACUUGCCAGGAAAAUCCUGAUACAGUUGAUGUACAUAACAGAAAAAAAGAAACUAGAGUAAAAGAUGGGACUUUUUCGCCAAGUAAAAACGGAAAGAACAUAAUACAAACAACAAAAACAGAAAGUUAAGUAGCUUUCUUGUAAAUAUAGCUGAUAUACAAACUAUAACUUAGAAGUUUCUUUCUCCCCAAUCCCACUACUUAGAAACGUGACUCCCAAGCUUGUUUUCCUCUCAUUCUUAUCAUAUAUAAGUAAUCAUUUGUCACACCAUUCAUCUUAAAUCAUCAACAUUUCCUAGCUUACAUUAAUAAAACCUCGAAAAAGCUACUUAUUAUCUGAAAAAAUUCAAGAUUUUGCAGCUGAUCUUAGAUGGAGAGUGGAACUAGUGAUGGAAGCUGUGUAAGGUUGCAGAUAGCUGAGCUGAAGUCGAAGCUAAGCGAAACAGGGAGUUCAGCUGGCACCAUUUAUGAGCCUGGAAUUAGUGUCGAAAAAGGGGAGAGUAGUAAUUUUAGUCCUGAUGAUUCUUUAAGGAGAAAUAGCCACAGGGCACCAGAACAGAAGCUGACAUUGUUUGCUCUGAGGCUGGCUGUGCUGGAGAAAGCUGCGACAGGGUUGGGAACAUUAGGCUUCAUCUGGGCCACCGUGGUUUUGCUAGGCGGAUUUGCUAUUACUCUUGACAAGACAGAUUUUUGGUUUAUUACCAUUAUAUUGUUGAUUGAAGGGACAAGAAUUUUCAGCAGGAGUCAUGAGCUUGAGUGGCAGCAUCAGGCCACGUGGUCGAUUGCUGAUGCUGGAAUCAAUAGCUUUCGUGCAAUCAGAUCAAAUUCACGGUCUGUGAUCACAACUGUCAAGUCCUUUUUCAGGCCUGUUGUGAAGGCUAGUCAACAUGGUAGAGAGAUCACAAGGAAUAGGAAGAUGGAAAUUCAGAAGAAGGCGCCUAGUCGGGUGUGGACUACUACAGAUGUUCCACUUCUUCCGUAUGCUCCUUGGGUUUUCUUGUCAAGAAAUGUUAGUAAACUUCUUUACUGGCUUCAACUUGCAUCUGCAAGUGCUUGUGUUGGUCUGUCUCUGGUGAAGCUUGUUAGGCAUAAUUAUGGGGAAGUAGCUAAAGGGGAUACAGACAAGAGGAAUAGACAAGCAGCUCUCAAUAUUUUUUAUUCCUUGGCAUUGGCAGAGGCUCUGCUGUUUUUGCUUGAGAAAGCUUAUUGGGAAUGGAAAGUCAUUUGUUGUAGAUUGUUGGAACAAGUUAAUAAAGAAUGUGAACUUGGCCCCUCAGGUAUGGUUUCAAUCAGAAGAUUUUUCUAUGACGCGUACUCCAGAUGCGUUUCAGGAAGCAUUUUUGAUGGCCUUAAAAUGGACAUGGUAUCAUUUGCCAUGGAUCUCUUGGCCUCAAGUUCUCCUGAUGAGCAGCUGAUUGGAGCACAAAUUCUACGAAGCUUUGCAGCAAAUGAUCGGUUUUCAGAUGAUACGCUACAGAAGAUUGGAAUAUCAAUAUCAGUGAUGGAAAGGUUAGUAGAGAUGUUGAACUGGAAAGAUCCACAAGAAGAAGAAAUAAGGCAUUCAGCAGCCGAGAUUCUGUCAAAACUAGCUGGGAAGAAACAAAAUUCCCUUCGAGUUGCAGGCAUACCUGGUGCUAUGGAAUCAAUAUCCUCUCUUUUACAUGUCAGUAGGACUUCCACUGCUGCAGCUGAUGAGAUAUUUGAAAAGAAGAUCAUCUUUGACAGCGAAAAUUAUGGGGUUUGGACAUUUAACCAUUUGGGGCUUCUCAUUCUCAAGAAGCUUGCCCGUGACCAUGACAACUGUGGAAAGAUUGGAAACACAAGAGGACUAUUACCAAAGAUCAUUGAUUUCACUCAUGCAGAUGAGAGGUUACUCAAAAAUGGCAAGGCUUCACCAUCUCAAAUUUUGACUGUCAAAAGAUCUUUGCAAGUUGUGAGGAUGCUUGCAAGUACAGCAGGUGCCACAGGAAAACAGCUCCGCAAAGAGAUUUCUGAGGUAGUUUUGACAAUCAGCAACAUAAGGGAUAUAUUAAGAUGCGGUGAAAAACAUCCAGUGUUACAAAAACUAGGCAUAGAGAUUUUAACUAGUCUGGCAUUGGAGGAAGAUGCAACCGAAAGAAUUGGAGGAACAGGUGGAUUACUCAAGGAAUUGUUCAACAUUUUCUUUAAACAGGAGAUCCCAGAUAAUCAGAACCAUGUAAAGAUUGCUGCCGGAGAAGCACUAUCAAUGUUAGUACUAGAAAGCAAGAACAAUUGUCAUCGGAUCUUGAAGCUUAAUGUAACUGAACAGCUUGUCAGUGCAUUAGAGAUUCCAGUGCUUCAUGUAAAUGCAGCAAGAAUACUGCGAAACUUGUGUAGCUACAGCGGAUCACAUUGUUUUGACAAACUAAGAGACAUUACAACUGCAACACCUACUGUGAGAUUUUAAACUUUCAGUAUGUUCACUUAUAUACUUUCCAAGAUCAAAUAUAGCAAUAGGACUAAUAAGUUUGAGUUUCUCUCUUGCAGAUUCUUAAAGCAAUUAUGACAGCAGAGAAUAAGUUGCAAGAAGUAAUGAUUGGACUAGCAGCACAAGUUUUCAGAUAUAUGCCACCUAAAGAAUCAAGCAGCAUGUUCGAAAGAGCUGGAAUUCAUGAGGCAGAAUUAGCAGGAGCACUAGUCCAAAUUCUGAGGAAAUAUCCGUAUCCUCAAAUUAAGAUUCCAAGAAUAAGAAGGUUUGCGAUAGAGUUGGCAAUUUGGAUGAUGAGAGACAAAGAUACAAACAUAACAAUGUUCAGGGACUUGGGAAUGGUGAAGGAGCUGGAAAAUGUUAUAGAGACCACAUCAGAGCUUGAAAGUUUCAAUAUUUUCUCCGGUACUGUUGGGCUCAGCCGUCAUAGCACAACAAUCCAUUCACUAGUGGAAACCGCAAUGCAGUUGCUUGAAACUGAGUAAGUUACAGAAAUGAAAUAUUUGCAAGAAAAAAAGAGGAUGCUGAUGCUGAAGUUAUCUAAAUGUAAUAAGCCUGUACAUAUUACUGUAUUGUUGUUGUAGGAGAUUCUUUUAUUAUAUCAUUAUAUUUUUCAAAAGAAAUUUAACUGUAUUAAUAUUUGAGUGUCUUGUUUUCCAGAAAUUACUGCAUAUGCAUGUCAGUACUACAUAAUUCCUCAUUGGCAGAUUGUGCAUUCAUGUAAGUGUUGAUCCAUAAAAUGCUAAAAAAGGUCCAAUGUGCUAUAAACAUAUAGCUAAAUGCUAAUAGCAAGGGGUGUGAAUUUGCAAUUGUGGUAUUCAAGCAAUCUUCUUACAUAAAAAUGGUUGGAAGGCAUAAGAUGGUAGUAAAAGAAGCAAAUUUAAUACCUUCCACUUCUCUCUGUCUUGUUCUGCUGUGGUCCAAAAAGCAUGCAAAGACCUCAUUUUUCUCCAACAAUCAUUCUCAACUCCACUCCAUUGGCUGUUGGAUAACAUGUGAUAAGGUAAGGUUUACCAAGUAUACAAUUAUACAUCAACCAACCAAAUGUUUCAUUACCUAAAGAACCAGAAACAGAAUUAUAUAAGACUUGCAGUGUUACACAGGAACCAUCCUAAAGUUGCAGUACCUUAAAGUACUAAAAUCAGGCUUUCAUGUUGAAAACUUGUUCCAAUUAAUAACUUGUUUUCUUUGGUUGAUUGUUAAUAAAUGAUUUAUCUUUUUUAAGGAUUGUUGAGUGGGAAGUGAAGACAAAGACAUUGAUCUCUAACUCUGCCAUCUCAACGCCUUGAAAUUGUGUUAAAUGGAAAGCAUUAAUUUCUGGUCUAAAACAUGGUUAUAGUGAUCGGAAAUUGAAACUAAUCGUCGUUUCAGGAUUUAGAAGAGAUUUAUCAGAGGUUUUUUAAAUAAAUUAAAUAUUUUAAGUCAAAUUAGAAUAUAAUAAUAGAGUUAAGUUCUAUGGAGUACAUAAAAACAUUGGAGUAUUGGAGUACAAAUCAUAAUGUUUUGGUUUGAUCCUAUAUAAUAUCUUUGAUUAUCCAAAUUUUGAUAUAAUCUAUCAUUUAUAAGUUGUCUUGCACAUAAUUGUCAAUUAAUCAUUAAUAUCUUUCAACUUUAACAAGUAUUAAGAUUAUUGUUCUGCUUAUUAGUUAUAUUGCAGAACAUAGAGUCCUAUGAUUUAUAAAAGUAAUUAUUGUAUCAUUUGAUCACGAUGUUUAUGUUGCAGAACAUAAUGUGCAGGUUGUCAAAUAGUUACGAAUAUUAUUGGACAAAAAAAAUUAAAAUUUAGAUGACUAGAUUACAUUUUAUCAAACUUUGUACUCCAAUACUCCAAUUUUUUUUAUACUCCAUAGAACUUAACUCUAUAAUAAUAUAAUAAUCAUUAAAUAUAUACAACAUGUGAUGCAACCCAUGUAAUUUAAAAUCUUGGAGUACUUUAUGGCCUGCUUGUUAUCUUUCAACAACCACCAGCUAUGCCAAAUCUGCAUUUCUUUAGAACAAGUAGUUCCUCAUACUAUAUCACAUUUUUUGGGCAUCGAAUCGGUUUCGAGUCGUGUUCUUCUCUAUAUGGGUAUCAAUCAUGUGUCAUAUAUAAAUUAAGUAACAAAAUAAGAGUUUCAAACUAAGCUAUGAUGCUACAAAAAUAAAAUAAAAAAUGUGACACUUAGAAAUGAGAAUGAAAAAUAAAUAAAAGAAAAAAGGGCAACCAAACAGAAUCUUAUCUGUUUUAUAUGAUAAAACUUCUCUUGGUGACCUUGUAGAGACCAAUUUCUAUUUUCCUCCACUCAUAAGAAACCCCUAUCUGCCACGCAAAAGCCAAAUAUAAACUACUACUACUUCAAAGUAACAACUCAUCAAUAUUACUAUACAUUCUCACUCAAAUAACACUUUAGUCAUAUUUUACAUCUCUCGAGUUGGAGCUAAANGUCAUAUUUUACAUCUCUCGAGUUGGAGCUAAACCCANUCUCACUCAAAUAACACUUUAGUCAUAUUUUACAUCUCUCGAGUUGGAGCUAAACCCCCCUUCUAAUUACCCAUUCAAGCCAUUCUAAGGUAACCCUAGUGCCUUAAACUCUUUAAUUCCUAAAUUUUUUAUCUGGGUAUGUGAUGAAAUGAAAGAAAUCAAGAAUGUGAUGGUUAAAAAUCACUAAAGUUUGAAACUUUAUAUAUUUUUUUGAGAAAGCUGUCAUUCUUAACAAAAGGGUUGCUUGGGAUCUUACAUUUCUUGAUCUUUAUAAUGCAUGUGUCACUGUUUGUUUGUUUGGUGAUAUCAAGUUUCUAUCUGUUUUCAUGUUUGUUUACAUUUCUUGAUCUUUAUGAUGCAUGUGUCAUUGUUUGUUUGUUUGAUGAUUUCAAGUUUCUAUCUGGUUUCAUUUUUAGAAGGAAAGCAUAUUCUUCAGUGAAUGUUGAAUGAUUGAAUGACCAUUUUGGUUAUUCUAUAAUAGUCAAUCUCCAGGAUGAUCAUACAAGAAUUUAAAUGUUUGUUAUUUUGUAUGUUUUUGUAUGAAAGUGAAUAGGACAAGUGUAGGGCAGACAACAUGUGAUGGUUGGAUUGACUAUAUUAUAUAGAGAAUAUAUUAUAUACAUCUCUGUGUGUGUGUUAUGAAAUUGGAAAUUUGUUUCACUCUGGUUGUAUUUUCAUACAUAAAAGUGAACAAGAGUUCAGAAUAUUUAAAAUAGAAUGCACCAGAUGAAUUAGGUUCAAUUACUGUUGAUUUCUCAGAUUUAAUGUCAGAUGUGUUAGCAAUUUUUCCACGGCUUUACUAUGUAAUAGUUCAUUGAUUGUCUAUUGUUUUAACUUUAUUUGAUGGUGUAAUUGUUUGAAUAACAUGUCCUUUUCUGCAUCAAACAAAAUGAACAUUUAUAAAUCAUAAAAUUUGUUUGUUGGGAAACAAAGGACAACCAAGAGGUGAAAUCCAAUUAGCUAGAUGAUGACAAGGCUGUCCGUGUGUUGAUAGCGUUAAUGAAUUAAACAAGGUAAAGAACAAUUAGUUGAUGAGUAAGACAUAUGCAAAAUGUGGUUUGACCACUGUAGCAUUUGGAGAAUGUGCUCACAGAAACAGAACAAAGCAUGGAAAGAUAAAUGGAUGAGAUAGUAUAACAAAUUGGAAGACAUUCCAGGCUUCUUGAACACUAAGGUAUAACUUACCGGCUAAGUUUUGAGGCUACACAUGGUUCCCUAAUUUAGAUUUAAAUGUGUCAAUUAUGUUACUUAAACGUAUGGUUGACAAUCGGAAAAUAUGCAUUAUGAACAUAAAUAUAUGCUACUGUUAGUGUAAUUAUGAAUGCCCCUAUUUAGAUACCUUAUAUGUCAUGAUAAGGCAAUACCUGUUCUCAAUUGUGUGCAAAAUUUAUUGUUGAUCCGACCUUAGUUGAGGUGUAGAUGGUGUGCUCCUAAGAAUGAUUACCUAACUUCUAAGAAGAUUCUGGGAACAACGUCCAACGACAAAAAUUUUAAAUGAAGGGUACAAUAAUAGCAUGAAAUACUUGGUGUUCAAGUCAAAUUUAACUGAUAAAGCCUUGCAUUUAUUUAAAAGCAGGUGAGGAUGGCUCAGAUCUUAGCUCCGUCAGUGCAAUGGCAAAUGAGAUUCACAAAAAAUUCUACCGAAGUAAGUUCAAUGACAUCAAAGAUGUGGGGUUCUCUAUUCCUGAAACAAAACAAGAAAGCACCAGCUAGAAGUUCUACCAAAUAUAGAGCAUUAGCAGUGAAGUCUGAGGAUGGCACCAUAAAUAGGAUGGAAGAUCUACUAAAUUUGGAUGUAACUCCAUACACCGAUAAGAUCAUAGCCGAGUAUAUAUGGUAUGCUCUCUACUUCACACAAACAUGAUCUAAGAUAAUUUUGAGCACGGCGCAUGUUGACAUUUGUUAUACUAUUUUCAUCAGCAAUCUUUCACAUUUGUUACAUAUUAUGAUACCUAGAUCCCAAGCUUCUAAAUUUGUAAAAGACAUCAUGCUAAUUCAUAACAUCUGCAUCUUGAAACAGGAUAGGAGGAACUGGCAUUGAUGUUCGAAGCAAAUCAAGGGUAAUUUGAAGCUUAAAUGUUGCUUACCAAGUGUACUCUGGUAGUAAGCUGAUCAUUGAAUUACUUUUACUUUAUUCCUAAGUUCAUUUCUGUAUGUUUGCAGACAAUCUCAAAGCCAGUUGAGCACCCGUCUGAGCUACCAAAAUGGAACUAUGAUGGAUCAAGUACUGGGCAAGCACCUGGAGAUGAUAGUGAAGUAAUUUUAUAGUAAGAUUCUAUAAAGAAGCACUUCUAUCUGAUAAACUAUUCCUUCAAAUCAUCUGUCGUAUAUUAAAUAUUUUUUAACUGUAUUCAGCCCUCAAGCAAUUUUCAAGGACCCUUUCCGUGGUGGUAACAACAUCCUCGUGAGUCAAACAAUUUCAUGCAGCAAUUGUAUUGUGUUCAAUUGUUAAAUAUACAUCUGUUUAUGACAUUUUAAUUUUAUUUUGUAAAUAUGAUAUAUAAAAUAUCUCUUAAACCCUUUUGAAUAUUUCGAAAAGGUCAUAUGCGAUACCUACACGCCCCAAGGAGAGCCUAUUCCUACAAAUAAACGCCACAAGGCUGCUCAAAUAUUUAGCGAUGCGAAGGUUUUAGGUGAAGUUCCAUGGUAAGCAAAAUUUAUAAUUGAUUUCAUUUUGGCACUUCUGCAUUAUCAACUUACCUAAGAUCUAGCUUUGAGAAGGAAUGUCAUGUGUAACACAAUGAUGCCUGAUUUUUUGGUUGUCUAAGAGCAGGUAGGGGAUUUCGAUUUCUGUCUGUCUUUCUUAUGAGUAAUUUUUUCAUAACCAUCUGCUAGGUUUGGAAUAGAGCAAGAGUACACCUUGAUGCAACAGGAUGUAAACUGGCCUUUGGGAUGGCCUGUUGGAGGCUAUCCUGGUCCUCAGGUAAGAAGAUCUCAGCAAAGUAAUUAUGCUACACAUUUUAUGUUUAAAGUAUACUUAUAACUUGUUUCCUAUCUUGUCUUUUAAUAUCACAGGGUCCAUAUUACUGUGCUGCUGGAGCGGAUAAGUCAUUUGGCAGAGACAUAUCUGACGCUCAUUAUAAGGCUUGCUUAUAUGCCGGAAUUAAUAUUAGUGGCACAAAUGGAGAAGUUAUGCCUGGCCAGGUCUGUUCUUCUUAUGUCCUUUCUACAGAUGCUUAUAGAUGUUACAUCACUGGUAAUAUUCGUCAUCUUAUUUUUUUUCCAUUUUAAUGCAGUGGGAAUUUCAAGUGGGUCCCAGUGUCGGUAUUGAAGCUGGCGAUCACAUCUGGUGUGCCAGAUACCUCCUGGAGGCAAGUUAUAUCCUCAGAUAGUGGUCUAAUAUCCAACUCCAUGCACUGUCGGGAAACCAAUUAUUUUCAAACGAUUAAUAUUACAAGUCAUGAUCCAGAAGCUUUGAUGUCCUUUUCAUUCGCUUUAAAACUGAAGUUUUAGGGUCUAACCCUUGCUUCUUUGAUUUACGUUUCUCAAGUUUUGCAGUCUGUAUUGAGUCCCAAUUUAGUUUUAGCUGUAUGUGCUUAUAUUUAACAAACCAACUAUACUAUGCAUAUGCUUGGGUGGUUAGUCGUUUUUCCCCAACACAUUUUAAUUACUUUUGCAUCUUCUAUGUCUUUUUUGUUAUGACAGAGAAUUACUGAGCAAGCUGGGGUCGUUCUCACACUUGACCCGAAACCAAUUGAUGUAAGCUAGAUCAUGUACAAGUGCAGUUAUACAUCAUGGUUAGAUAUUAUAAAGAAUAUUAUCUAAUCUCUUAUUUGAAUCUGCAGGGUGACUGGAAUGGAGCAGGCUGCCACACCAACUACAGGUACUUCUGUGCUUUAUUAAUAUGUAUUCAAGCUGCUUAUUACUAUAUGAACUGAUGGAAUAUAAGCACUGUCAGAAAAUCAAUGUUUAACUUAACAUUCUUUGGAAUCACAGUACAAAAAGUAUGAGAGAGGAGGGAGGCUUUGAAGUAAUUAAGAAAGCAAUCUUAAACCUUUCACUUCGCCACAAAGAGCACAUCAGUGCAUAUGGAGAAGGAAAUGAGAGAAGAUUGACAGGAAAGCAUGAAACUGCGAGCAUUGACAGCUUUUCUUGGGUAUGUGUUGAUAGUGUUGGCAUUUAAUUCUGCAAAAACAGACAAGAGUGUAGAUGUAAAAUAUUCUAUUCCAAUUCUAAUUUGGUAACAUGACUUUAUCAUGCAGGGAGUUGCUGACCGUGGUUGCUCAAUCCGUGUGGGGCGUGAUACUGAGAAGGAAGGCAAAGGUAGGCCCUGUAAUUGGCAAAACUAGAAAAAAACUGGCAUAGCUAUUAAAAGUUCUUAUACAGUUGUUAGCUACCAAAUGAACAAAUUUUGUGCAGUUUUUUUGUCUAUACUUAUAUUUUGGUAUCUUCAAAACCAAGUUUGUCAAUUAGUACUUAUUGAUACCUUCAUCUUUUUCUUACUAUCCUUUCUAUUGUAUGGCAGGUUACUUGGAGGAUCGGCGCCCUGCUUCAAACAUGGACCCAUAUGUUGUGACUGGUUUACUUGCUGAAACUACAUUACUGUGGGAGCCAACACUUGAAGCUGAAGCUCUUGCUGCACAGAAACUAUCUUUGAAUGUCUAGAUUCAGUUCAAGAUAAAUUUACAUUUUCCACAAAAUUCAUUGUCGUCAGUUGAACCGCCUCCUGCUUUCUUUGGAUCAUUAGUUGAUAAUUUCUGUAAAUAAAGGGAGCCCCAGUGGUUAACCUUUCCUUCUAUUAUGAAAGACAUUCUUGGAGGUCAUUAGGUGUUCAAAAGAAUAAUUAUGAUGAUUUUGAGAAUACUCUACCCGGAAGCAAUUGUCAUCAAGUUCUGAGCCUG
This 62098-nucleotide long non-coding RNA is filed under the name Daucus carota (carrot). Its description in RNAcentral is "long non-coding RNA (DCAR_LNC005822)". The record is from RNAcentral. Lineage: Eukaryota; Viridiplantae; Streptophyta; Magnoliopsida; Apiales; Apiaceae.